UUCAAAUAUAAUAUAUUUUACUCAUAAUGUAGAAAAUUAAAAAUUAAAGAUUUUUAAAAAUGUAUAAUUAUUAAGUUUGAGUUUAAAAUUAUUUUAAAGAUUCAUAUCUUCUGUUUGGAGAAAGAGAAAAAAAAAAGCAUUAAAUUAAAAAUAAACUAAGGAAGAGAGGAAAUCGACAUUUCUCGGUGGGAGAGAAAAAGGUAUGAAAAUUAAUGGAGAAAGUACAAUAGGGAUUUAAAAUUUUAAUUUUUGAAGUUGAAAAUUUGGUAAUAAAUAUUAUAAAGUUUAAAAUUGUAAAUUUUUAAAUUUAAAAUUUGAAAUUUAAAGUUUUGAUAUCCAAAUUUAAAAUUUUAUAAUCUAAUAUUUUAAAACUACAUAUAUAUAUAUAGAGAGAGAGAGGUAGGGAGAGGAGGGGAGGGUGGUUUAUGGUGCACUCCUUUAAUAUAUAUAUAUAUAUAUAUAUAUAUAUAUAUAUAUAUAUAGAAUAGAUGUACUUAAGAUCCUUCUUGGACCAUACAUAUGUCCACAAUCAACAAUCUAUGAUGCAUCAGAUGCAUCGAAGAUAGCCCGUGGACACGUGGCAGCACAGUAGAAUAACUCCACGCCCUUUGGCCUAUGGUGCACCACGUGCACUGAAAAUAGCUCGUGAACACGUGGCGGCAUAGUACUAUAACUCCACGGACUUCAAUAAAUAAUAAUAAUAGAUGUCAUAAAUUUUUAUGAGUCAGAGCCUCUACAUACACGGUCUCUAUACCUGCAGCUUGUCAUUACUGAUGGUAUUGUUGAAUGACUAGUUAAUUAAAAAAUUGAGAACAAGAUAUCUAUUAUUACCUUGGACAAUGCCUCUUCUAACAUUGUGGCAGUUCGACUUUAAUGGGUAAUUUCAUUACUAGAAGAAGAGAUUUUUUUUUAAGUGAGUCAUAUUUCAAGUAUGAUGUUGCGCUCAUAUCUAAAAUUGGUGAAAUUGCACAACAACUCAAUAUCUCUACAAGAAAAGAAUUGGCAUUAGAUGUUGCAACCUGUUAGAACUUAACAUAUAUCAUAUUAGAUCAUGCAUUUUUCAAUAAUGUGCAACUAGAGAUGCAAAUUAUAAAUAACGGUUGUCUCAAGGUUAUUGGACUAAAGCUCAAAAAGUUUUUUGCCUUUUUCAAAACUUGUUAUGAAGUAACAAACAUCUUUUCCGAUUCACUUUAUUCUAUAGUAAUUUUUUUUUUUUCAUAUGUAUGAAAAAUAAAAGAGCAACUAAAUCAAAAGUCUAAAUGCAAAGAUGAAUUUUAAAAAAAUAUGACAGUUGAAAUACGAAAGAAGCUUAACAAAUAUUGGGGUCGGUGUAAUAUGUUGAUGUCCAUCAAAGCUAUUAUGAAUCCUCAUUACAAAUUGAAGCUUAUUAAACUUUGCUUUCAUAAAAUUUAUCCUUAGAUCGAAUUUUGUUUCAUAUUUUAAAAGUUCAUAGAUCAUUAUUCGAUAUAUAUGAUGCUUAUGUGCUUGAGCAAGCAGCAAAAGUAUCUACACAAGGGGCCGAAGGAUCAAGUUUUUCAAAUUAUGAAAUUGAUCAAGAUUUAACUAGGAAGAUGAGCUAAGACAGAAGUAAAAAUUGAGUUUGAUUUAUACUUGGAGACAAUUGAGACAAUGAAAAUUAAAAAAUUAGAGCAAAAUAUGAGAUAUGAUGUAUCUAAAGACACAAUAUUUGAUGUUCCCAAUUGGUGGAAGGUGAACUCUCGCACGCUUUCUAUUCUUUCACAAAUAACAAAAAACAUUCUAUGCCAAUUACGACGAUAAUAUCAGAAUUUGCAUUUAAUACCGGUGGAAAAGUUUUAUGGAUUAUCGCAGUUCUUUAUCUACUACUACUGUAGAGGCCCUAAUAUAUGGAGAAAGUUGGACUCGUAACGCUUCAAAACUACCAAGUAAAAUCAAUGUAAAUCAUUAAAUACUUUUAAUUUUGAAUUUUAUAAUUUACUAUUCAUUACUAUUAUUUUAGAUAAUCAACUAUGAUGACUAAAUUUAUAGUAUGAUUAUUUAAAUGAGGAGAGCCUCGUCAUUCCAAACGUUGUGGAUUAUUAGCAAUUUUUUUUUUGUAAGGUUGAGUAAUUUUAAAAAUGUACCUAUUAUGUACAUUUUAUUACUUUUUAAAUUGUUUACUAUAUAAACUAUUAUUAUAUUCUUUGUAUAGAAUGGAGCGAUUUUGAGUUCAAAACAAAAUAUUAUUUUUUAUGCUUUUAUGCCACUGUGAUGGCUCUUAAAAUCUAUAUAAAUUUAGUUUAAUGUUGAAUUUUUAUUCUUUACAUUGGUGUAUUUAACUAUUUGACAUUAUUAUUUCUUUUAUGAUAGUAUCCUUUUAUUAUUAUAUUUGUAUUGUUGUCAUAUUUUUCAUAACAUUUUGAUUAGAUAUUAACGUUAUUUUCACAAAUCUUGCAUACUUAUUUUAAAAAUAUAUAUUGGAUCAAGCAACCAUGAAAAUUUAGAACAUAUUUUACUUAUCUUAAAUAUACUUAGCUAACUUUCUAAUAUUAAAAAAUUAUAAUUUGAUAUGAUUUUUAUUACAUUAUAAUUAAAAAAAUAUUAUUGAUUAUAUGCUUAAGAAAAUAUACAAUAUAUGAUUAUAUANAUAUAUAUAUAUAUAUAAUAAAAAAUAUAUAUAUAAUUUGAAAAAAGAAAGAGAAGACAUGGGAGACUUAAACAAAAAUAAAAAUAAAAAUAGACAUUCAUUAUAAGAUUAAAUAAAUCAAUUCAUAAAUUAUUUUUUAAUAUUAUAAUACUGUAUUUCACACAUUUAUUUGUUUGUUGAACUAUGAGAUAUGUUUUUAUACCAAAUUUUAGAUAAUAUUUUAUAAAAACUAAACUACAAAUUACAUAAUGUUAAAAAUUUCAAAGGACUCAUUUAAAGCUCGAGCUCGCUAACUCGAAGUUAAGCUCGCCCUGAGUUCAAGUCGAAUAAAUUUUAAGCCAAACCCGAACCUAGAGUUAGGCUCAAAAUUUAUUUCAAACCAAAUUUAAGCUGAGGUAAUGGAACUCAGCUCGUUUCCACCGCUAGCACCGACCAAAAUAAUAAAAUUAGUUGCAAAAAUAUUUUCAGUGCGUUCAAAUUCUUACACAAAAAAAUAAUAAUAAAUUUUUGAAAAAAAUAUUUAGAUUUCACAUAAAAGACCCCUAUUCGUGUUUCUCAAUUUUUUAUCUAUGAAACAAAAACUAUCAAAUGGGUGCUUUCUAUAUUUUUUUUUUUUUUCACAAAACGGUUCGUAAUUUUUCGAUGAAGCAUUAGCACUCACUAAGCUCCUCGGUAGCUAGCUAGCCAGACUUCCCUAACAUAGCCAGGAGCAAAAAAUAGGAAAAUUAAACGAAAAAAAAAAAGAAAAAAAUUUAUAUAUAUAUAUAUAUAGAGAGAGAGAGAGAGAGAGAGAAAAGAGAGAUGAGCAGAAAUAUUACCAUCCAUUUGUUUUCAAUGAUAGAGCAUCCAAAUCCAAAGAUAGAGCAUCCAAAUCGACGAUCGACAUCGUUAAAUAUAAUUUAUACUACUUGAAAUAUCUAAAAACCAAAUUUCAAAUAUUUUCGACAUCAUUAACCUAAUGAUCAAAUGAUUUUAAAAUUCAUAAUUUUAAUGGUCAAUAUGAGACAUUUUCUAGUUUAAUGCUGUAAAAAUACUCAAAUCAAUUAAAUUUUGAUUAAAAAAUUCUUUAAACUAUUUAGAACAAGAUCUAUACCCUUGAUUUUCAUUACAAGACUACUAUCAUCACUUUCUAGAGGAUAUUCAUUUUCAGCAGUUUAUUUUUAUGCCUACUUGAUGGACAAGAGAAUAAUAUUGGAAAAGUAUGAAAUUUAAUUUUUAGAUGCUUUUAAGUCGUAUAGUUCAUGUUCAACAGUACCGAUCAUCGCUUUGGAGACUCCAUCGAAAAUAAAUGGGUGGCAACGAAGCCUGUUUGCUACCGAUAUCAUUACAGCUCAACUAUAUAUAUAUAUAUAUAUAUAUAUAUAUAUAUAUAUAUAUAUAUAUAUAUAUUAGGACUACUAUACUCUUAUGAGUAUUAGGCUAUUCGUACUCAUAAGUUGUUUUCGAUGAUUAGACUUCCGAAUCGACAAUCCAUUCCGUUAAAUAUGAUCUAGAGUAUUUUAAACUUCUAAAAAAUAAAUUUCGUAAUUUUUUGAAAUCAUAAUAAAGUCAAUCAAGCGGGUACAAAAUGAACGGUCGAAAUCGAACGACGUCCUAAAAAUGGAUGAUCAUGUAGUGUUCCGAAGGUUUGGAUAGGAUUGGCUACAGUAUUAGUGACUGGUCGACACAUUUGGUGAGUGUCGGACUGAGUCGGAGUCGUUUAUGCACGAAAUGGAUACAGAAAUGGACUCGGCGCACUCAAAUAAGCAAAACUGAAGUUUUGCCAGAUUCGGGUGCCCAGAACUGGGUUUGGGUCGCCCAGAACUUGAGUGCUGGUUUGAGCAGAACUGGAAGCCAAUUCGGAUUCUAGUUUCGGGCGCCCAGAAAAGGGUCCGAAAGUUUACUUCAUGAAUAUCGUUUGCACUGACACGUGGUUGGUGGUAGGUGAGGUCCGCCGGAGCAGGAUUUGGGCGCAGCACACCACGGGCGGAGGAAUCGAAGUAGAGUAUUUGUGCAGUCUGGAAGUUUCGGACGCCCAGAACAUGGUUUCGGGCGCCCGAAAGUGUCUCUUUCUGCAGGGAUAGCAAGUUUGAGUUGUGAGUUCCUGGGGCUUAUUGGACCAUUCUAACUCCCUAUAAAUAGGUGGAGUACGAUCUCUGUGAGCUCUUUUCACCUCUUCUUCACAGUGAAGGCCAAAAUUGCAUUCCAACCCCUCUAAUUACUCCAAAUUUCACAAAUUGAAGCUUGAGGACUCCAGUUUAGCAGUUUUCUAGCAGGACCUUCGGCGUUUUGACUCGUGUGCGAUGUAGAAAGGUCGAAUUGCUGUGAAACUUGGUUUGGUGAUUAGCUGACUUCUGGAAGAUUUCGUGGAGUCCAUUUUGACUACAUUUGAUUGAGGUUAGUUUGGUCAAAUUACUAUUCUUCUGGGCUGCUGCUGUUUUGGACCUGAAUUUGAGUUUUCUUUGGUUAUUAUGGACCAAUUCCUGGAGAGAGCUGAAAUUUCGACCAGAAGAAGUUGCUCCACCUUUCCCUACUGGUUUUAGAGGGUGUUCUUCACCUGAAUUUGGAUUUGGAUGUUGCUAGGUGAGUAUUAGCAUUGGAAUUGAAAGUUUAAGCUUAAGUGCUGAAUUUUGGGGUUAUUGACGCAAUUUUGAUGUUUUUGUGUUUUGAGCUUGGGAGGAAAUUGGAUUUGAACCAGAGGAUGUCAUUCCAUCAUAGUACACUGCUUUUGGAAUCUUUUCUCACCUGAAUUGGUGAUUGGAAGGUGAAAUUCGCUUUGCAAUUGAGCAAAAUUUAAGUUUAUAAGCUGAAUUGCAUAUAAUUGAUGGAAUUUUAAUAUUUUUAGUGUUUAGAGCCUUGGAGAGGUAUUGUUGCUGGUGCUCGGUGAUCACGGCUGAGCCUCCCUGUGAUUUCGUAACUUCUAGCCUGUCGGAUUAGCGCUAGAGGUGGGUUAAUCAUCGGAUUCUCCUCCUAAGUUUAGUAAUUGAUAGCAUGUAUGUUUAGUCUUUUGUAUAUCAUGUAAUUAGCUCAAACUAGUGAUUUGCAUGCUUAUGAAAUCUGAGUUUGGAGCUUAAAAUGUUAGUUGAAUAUACAUGUUGGACUUGGAUUUGACUUAGGAGAAAACUGACGUUUCUACAUUGUCAUAUGUUAAAACUAUCAGAUUUAGCUCUAGGAGCCGUAAUUUGUUGGUAUCACCGCAGUUUGUGGGCGGUGGAUACUCAGGGUGGUGUAGAAUGUAUUUACACUCGUGCUGGGAUGCCGAGCUUAUUUUACAGCAGUGUUUUAGGCUGUUUCGGACUGUCGGAUGCCAUCGGGGUUGACAAUGGACCCAGAUUACUGUUUUUGCAUCAGAUUAUGCCGAGGGUACGUGAGUUGGAUACUUAGACCCUGUUACUUGACUAUAGCCUACGAGAGCCUCAUUAAGCUCGACAGAGACACACUUGCAUACUCAAUUGGGUAGCGCCCACGAGUGCCACUUCGGAGUCGGACUUUGUGCGUUUGCGUUGGUGUCGUUGUGUCCUGGUUGAACUUACUCUCCACGGGACGGCUUAGUGUGGAGGUAACGGUAUAGCUUCGACAGGCGGGACAAGUGUAUUCAGUCCCUGGGACGGGUGUGUUCACAGUCCCUAGUGAGAUUGGAUCAGAGAUCGCAUUAUUCUACAAAUUGUAGUGUCAGAUCAUAAUAGUAUAGUGGCACAUAGCUGUAGAUUAUUUUCAAUUAUUUACUAUCAUUGAGCAUAUCAUCUGUAGACUCUUGGUGGGUGAGCCGAUGAGUUGAGGGCGAUACCCACUGAGGACUACUUGUUUUUGCAGUAAUUCUCACGCUUAUUUGUUACCCCUAUUUUGCAGAGCCUUCGGUUCCGGCUGCUGCUACUACCGAGACUGAUCGUGGCAAAGGCGUUGCAAGUUAGAGCCCUUCUAGAUGAAUCACUGUGCUAGUGGAGUACCAGCUGCAGGUAGUUGUAAUUUUUGAUUCUUUACAUACUGAUGUUGUACCUCGCUGGAGCGAGUAUUAUUUUGUACCCGGAUGCUAUAUAUGUAUUGAACCACUGUUAUUAUUUAUAUUUUAUUCCUUUCUAGCAACUCUAUACUACUAGUAGUAGUAUUGUGUGAUUACAGGUACAUGUACAACUUCGCUUCGUAUACAGAAAAAAAAAUUUUAUAUACGACGGGUCUGUUAGCGUGCCCGGAGAAAUGAAGAAUCUAAGGCGUGACAAAUCGGAUCCUUCAAUUUAAGAUCGAAGUUAUUGAUCUUUAUCUAGGUAGUGAAUAUAAUUUUCUAUUAAAAAUUCAACCGAUUCCGAUUUUUUUACGCCGUUAAACUAGCAAGUAUCCCAUACCGACCGUUAAAAAUUGUCAAUUUUGUAAGCUUUUGAUUGUAAGUAAAUGAUGUCGAAAAAUUAUAAAAUUUGAUUUCUAGAAGUUUUAAAUACUCUAGAUAAUGUUUGACGGUAUGGAUCGCCGAUUCGAAAGCUCUAUCAUCGAAAACAACUUAUGAGUACGAGGGCAAUCGUACUCAUAAGAAUAUAGUAGCCGGACUCUAUAUUAUAUAUAUAUAUAUAUAUAUAUAUAUAUAUAUAUAAAAUUGAACUCCUAUACUUUUAAAAGUANACGUGGGCCCCCAAAGAUUGAGUGGGUGGUUGGUUGAAUAGUAUAAUCUAACGAUUAAAAAUGAUCAGAAGAGUAGAUCUAACGGUAAAAAAUUUACAAGCACCAAGUGUUUGGUGCUUGUAAAAGCACCAUAGCCGGACUGGUGUGUAUAUAUAUAUAUAUAUAUAUAUAUAUAUAUAUAUAUAUAUAUAUAUAUAUACAUACUUCACUUCGAGUGAUAAAAAUAAUAGCUGAUUUACUACUAGACCUGCCUAAUGAGAGGUAAAAGUAAUAAUAGCAAAUAUUGCCAAUAGAGACAGCAACGGCAACUUCUGCCAUUACACUAUAUAUACAUCUGAACGCUUAUUAUAGAGUUGUAAAUAAUGCUGGGAAGAGGAGCACCUUCUCGUAAGUCGUAACCUGCUCAGAAUCAUACUAAUUGCACAACGGCGGCGAUGCGCAAGGAUCCGCCUUGGAGGAGGUCCGCGAGCUCGUCGAACAAGAACGCGGUGCGCCAGCCCCACCCCUUGGGCGCCUUCGGUAGGAGCGUCCCCGCCUGCUUAAAGCUUCCGAAAACAAGGACUUCCCUCUUUGAUGGACAAAUUAACUGCGAAUUUCAUACUAGAAGUUCAGGAUAUUUUGAAGCAGAAUAUAAUUUGAAUGCUGCCCUCUCUGUGCACUUUGAAUUGGAAUCUAAACAACUCUAAAUUUUCAUUUUACUACCUUACUACCUAACCUUAUGUAGCAAUGUUUGAAGUAAGUACCUCUUCCUCACAAAUCGACAGUGCUUCUGCUUUUCGACAAAAUAUUUUAAAACCUUGUUGGCCGAAAACAUUUUCUAACAGAUGAAAUUUUCUAAGAGUCAAAAGUAAUGUAAGGUCAUCAGGUAGUAAUCAAAUCUUUUUGAAGUUCAAGUACCAAUUUCACUAUUUACCAGAGGUAGGUUCCGUAAACCACAUGCUUACACAAAACGUACCUGAUACCGGGCUGUCACUUUCUCCCGCGAGUCUAUGUACAUAUGUACCUGAUAAAAGGAAAUGUUAGCGGGCAGAAAACAUGCAACAAUAUCCCGCACCAAAGGUAAGUAACUGACCUUUCGUAAAGGAUCAGAGACCUCCGCCUUGCGCCUGUGAAGAAACAAUCCUGCAUGGCGAUUUGGUUUAGAGAUGUAGAUGUGUUAAACCAUUUGGGUGAAAAAUUAAGACAGAUCAGGAGAAUGUAGAAAUGUACCAAGCGUGCGGCGUCCCUGUGGGUCUUCAUCGUUGAAUGCCUGGACGCUCACCUAUUUAGCAGCGCAAAGGUUUCUCAGAUUAGCGUCGCACGGAAAAGAAAAGUGCCAGUAUCAAAACUCAUGGAUUCUGUAUUGUCUUGCAAAAUUGCUGUUAUGUAUAUAAAAUCUUUAACACGUUAAAACAGUCGAAGUUUCUAAAUAGGAAACUAAAAGGUCUAACCUUUUAAAAGUGCGCCCCAUAAUACAGCAAGAAUUCUUCAUUCACAAAAAGAAAUUGAAAACAAGUUUAUGCAGGUCUCAUUUUUACAUGUACGUCAAACAAGAAAUUUUGGUUCUUUACUACACUACGAGUAUGAUACACACAUAGAGGUAUACGAGUACAAACCUUCCACAGUGAACCGGCAUAGAAUACAUCUGGAGAGUGCUUCACUAGGCCGUCAGUAAGCCUGUGCACAUCUUCAAACUCCACCCUGAUUUAAUUUGAAAUUUGUCAAUUUGAGAACAUAGAUAAUUGGCACAGAUUGCUUGCUGAACCUACUGAAUCAGAAUACGAGCAACUCACACGCAUCACUUUCCAUUUCAUACAAAUGCAUGGCCAAUGCUAACGUCAGGUAGAUCCAGAAGAUCUAUGACUUAUUUACCACUAAUUUCAUCUAUUAAUUGUAAAAUACUGAUGAAAAUGAGGGCUGAAUUUUAGGAACAUCAAGAUUUCGCAAAAUCAAUCUUUCUUUCAUCCAAUUCAAUCACCUGAAUAGUCAAAUGUAUAAACAAGAAAGUAAAGAAGCUUAAAAGAAAAUUUGAAGCCAUUUGAUGUCAAGAUAACAAGAAGAGGAUUUCAGGUCAAUGCCAUCAGCAAAGUGGCGCAUCACGUCAAUAUUAUUCCAUAGCCAGCGCCACCUUGUGGUAGCCAGCAUGGUGGCAUGGCACUCUAUGAAAUAUAGUAGCAGCAUUGAAUAUCUAACAAGAAUAAAAAGUCGAGUCAUUUUACCCAAAGCGAAAAGGAGGGAAAUGGCGCAAUGGUGUCUUCAAAUCCAAGGAUAUGGACGAACCCUCUGAACAUUCCCAAUCAUUUCCGAGAUCAUGAUCCCCAGGUCCUGUCACCUGCACUGAAGUGCCACUAGCAUUGGCAACAGAUGCUGCACCAGUAAACCUAACCGCAACACGAGCAUCUGGUAUUUCGGUUUCCUCAGAGUUAACAUGCACAAUAUUGUUCCCUUGGCUAAGGCCAACCAGUGCAGUCAAACCAUCUGAAAUAUCAACAUUAUAAAAAUCAACAACUCAAUGCUCAGAUUCAUUGUUCGCGAGCAACAGCUGGCAAUUUGCUGUUGCCAGGCCCAAAAGGAACAUGUGAAAAUACACAGCAAGUUGGAGGCCAAGUCGCACCAGGCACAUAUGCAGUUCCUCCUCGCCCAAUGCCCGCAAGCACAUCAAUCGCACCCCUCACAUGGACCCGCAUUGGCCCAACCGCGCCGCUUCCAUCAGCUUGUUGGGCCUCCGGAAUGUAUAUGGAGCCAAUGUUGCUGGAAGUACUGCUUCGAUCAUGCUCCAGUCUGUAGUAGCCCAUUGAACUGCCACCAUGUGAAUACCCGUAUGCCUGUCUACAAGCGCAUGCAUUACUCAUGAGACAGCAAUUUCUGCAAGUAUCAGCUCCUAUUGCUUGCACCCUAUGACACAGUAGCAUCUGAAUCAAAAAAAGCAUAGGUUAGAAACAGGAUUCCCAUGAAUAAGAACUGAAAAGAAAAGAGAUUUUCACAUAUAUUGCCCUCAAAAUACAGUAGUUGUGUGCAUACAUCAAAAUUUACAAUUUGUACCUACACUCUUCAAAAUAGCUUACACUCUUCAAAAUAGCUCAUAUUUAUGAGUAUACACCUCACACUCAACAUUACAUUUUGUGCCUAUACCCUUGGAAAUAAGACAUAGUUGCAUGUGUGCCCCUUUACUUGAGAGCAUGCUAAAAAGCUGGGUUAUGGUGUGCAAUUGCGGCACCCUUGUAUUUUUUAGUUUUAUGCUGUCUUUUAGUGUAAAACCCUUCUUUUGAGCAUGAAAAACUCUCAGGUAGAGGGGCAUACAUGCAUUGAGCUAUUUCUAAGGGUAUAGAUGCAAAAACCUUUUGAGGAUUUUACAAGCAAAUAUAGACUAUUCAUAGGGCUAUAGGGCAAAUUGCAACUUUUCAAGGGUAAACAAGCAAAUAAAUGUACAAGAGGGGUAUAUGUACAAAAGAAAUGCAACCAAACCUGAAGCCAAAGACCAUCAUUGACAGCUUUGCAAGGAAACCCUAAUUCUUCUAGCUGCUUCCGGACAUUUAGCAAAGCUUCAAAGGACAUGUUACAAUAGAGAAGAGAGCCCCCUUCAAAGACAUUCAUGAAGGCAUCAAAUCCAUCACCACGAAUGGAAGAGCUUGCCUUGGCAGUGUCAGAUUGUCCCCUCCCCACUAUCCUGCCGCCCCACGAGGGCAUGUUGCACCUUCCCCAUUCACUAGAUGUUGCUCCAUUGGAAGGGUUUGCCGAGGAGCAGUUGUUUGACUGAUCUGCAGGGAGCCAGUAAUUAUUAUUAUUUAAUUGAAAGAAUGUGCUUUCUUCAGGUGAACCUUCCACAGUGCUGGCGUUUUCUCUUACUCUCGCAGUUUCAACACCACUCUGCAUCAAAAACAAGAUGUUUUUACUCAUUAUAUCAAACAACAAGAAACAGGUAAAACAGGUUUGAGGGUAUAUAUGGAAUCUAGAACCAAUCGGAGUUAUUUACAUACCCAUACUGGUUCGGUGCAAGAACCAGCUGCGUGGAAGUCCACUGUGCAAUCUGCAAGCGCAACCAAAUUGUCCUGAGAAGUUCUAUUGAUUAAAUUGUCUAGUAUGCUCAAUUGUCCCAAUUCAGAUUCUAGUUGUUUGCCAGUACUGCUGUGGACUAUAGUUUUUCUCUUUGGUAAAGAUGACUCUAGCAUAAUAGAGUCCACCUCAGAAUUUGAUCUUUCUUCUGCAGCAAUUUCUUCCUUAGCAGCAGCAUCUUUUGCAAGUAGAGUGUAAAACGCUAGUUCAAACCUUCAGAAAAUGGAAAGAAGGUUUAAAAUUGUAAGUUCAAAAAGUUGAUAGCAGGCUAGGCUAGUAGCAUGCUGCAUACCUUUUCUCCUCAUUAGGAACCCAUAGUUCAUCAGAUGUAAGGAGGGUAUGUAGAGUUUGUGAGGAUAGUUUGGGAAGUACCUAAUAUCAAAAUUAUACUUGGUGAGACUCGCAUGAUUUAGAGCAGGUGAAUGCAUGUACAUAUCAAGCAAAAGAGCAGGUAAGAAAGCAAAUAACUGGUGGAAAGCGAAAAUAACACAGAACAUGAACUGUCAGUUAAAAGACUUUUUUUUUAAUGUGCAAGCAUUUUAAUAAGCACGAAAUGUUGGUCCAGAAGGAAUAGCCAGACACAAUUCAGCAUCAGUUAACACAGAUUGACAGAUAUAUUUACUUUGGCAUGUUCUGAACAAGGUUCAACAGUAGCCUAGCAAUGGUUUAAGCUAAGGGCUGUUUGUGCAUAAAAAUGUUUUAAAUAAUUUUACAUAAUCUAUACUUAGUUGAUGGAAUAAGGGAAUUGUGAAAAAUGUGAACGAAUUUGCUAAGAAGGACAUAGAAUUUACAUUAAUUCACGAAUUAAAUUUGAGGAGACCCGCAUAUUCUCCAAUGAGAACUCAAUCAACCGAAAUCAAGUUUAAUUUUACAAUGCAAGUGAAUGAAGAUGCUUAUUUAUUGGAAAAAUACAAGAUCUAGACAUCAUACUGUCACUAAUUUCAUUAGAUUUUUACGAUCAACAGCUCUAGACAUCACGUUAAAACAAGGCUUAAGGCAUUAAGUAUUUACAGUCAAUCUGAAAGCAGGAGAAUUUAUUUUUAUAACAGACUCUGAAACUAAAAUUAGUCCGAAAGGUAACAUAGGGACUUCUUGCUAAGCUGACUUUGCUGGCAACAUUUGGUACCAGGACACUUGCAAGUUGCACUGUAAGCUUUUCUUUCUUUUUCUUUUAAAGAAGAAAUUUCUCAGUACCAAACAUCCGCAACCCAAGGCAAAGCAGAUAUGUAAUAUUGUGCAUCAUAGUAGUUUAAAUUGAAAUCAACCAUUUGUGAAGUGAAACAUUGUCUUCUUACCUCUCUCAGUUCCAUUGUGGCACUUCGACAAAGGUACCCCCAGCAAGCAUUUCUGACCCGCUCUCCAUGUAUGCCAUAAUCUUGGCUCUCUGCAAACACCUUUUUGGAAAAAGCAAAAGAAAAUGUAAUUAAAACAAAAAUCUGGUUUCAUCAACUUGAUACAAGAAAGUAGAUCAUACCUGAUAAGAAUAAAAGUUCAAAGCACGCAGUUCUGAAAUGAUAAAAUCCGUGCAGCUUGCGCAUAAGUCCUGCAAGAAAAUCCCAAUAUUUAUGCAACAGAAGAUAAAGCAUGUAGGAAAGACGAUUUCUUGCCAAAUUGAUAAUCUGGAUAACCUGCAGAUCAAGAAAAGAAGCAGCAGCGAGGACGCGGAAGGCAUUUUUAUCAUUGAGCUGGGGAUGGAAUCCAUAGAGAUAAGCCAAGGCCAUAGCAAUCGCCUCUGAAUUAACAUUUAGAUCAUCAAUAUGUAAGACUACAGUAGGCGCGCCAGCCUCUUUCCAAGGUCCAUGAAGCAUGUUCCUGCAAAUUGGUUCCAAUUACCUCGGUUCUAGAAUGUUUCUUUAAGCAUGUUAAGAAUGAAACUUUUCUCAGAAAUAAACAUCCAUAUAUUUACCUUUCUAAUAAGAUAAUCAGAAAGUUCAUCAUUGAAGAAAGGAAUAGUAAUCAACUACCAAAAGAUAUUGGUUAUGCCUGAUGCAAAAUUUGUCAAAUAGUAGAUCGUAGACAAUACAAUAUUAACAAACGGAAAACCACAUAAAUCUAUAGAAAAAAUGCAGGAAAAUAAGAGGAAAAAUUGCAGAACCCCAUAAACUAUAGGCCAUUUUAAAAUAAAACCCUCAGCAAUUCUUCUUUUGACUAACACCACCUCAAUUUUUUGAUUCUUUUGAUUUAAGUUAUUUUCAUCAAUUAAAUUAGGGAUUUUGCUAAGUCCAAUGGUGAUUCUAUUAAAAUUUAACCACUCUGCAUGCUUGUCCAGCCUAUGGAACUGCAGAUUUCAUGUAGUAUUAACAGUUGAUAACUAAUAUAGUUUUUCAUUUUAAAAAUCCCUAAUUCAAAUAUAAUGAAUAACUUGAAUAAAAACAAAUGGAGGUUAAGAAAGUGUCAGUAUACAGAACAAGUGCAAGAACCCAUCUUGAAUUGCCUAGAAUUGAGGGGCGUACGCACAGUUUUUACUAAAACGAUAGAAGUAUCAAAUUCUCAUACUUAUAACCAAGUAUAUAGAAUAUUAAAAUCAGAAAAAAAAAAAAAAGGAAAUUUUUAGCACACAAGUUCAUCAGGAAUCAGAAAUGUACACAUCAAUUGCAAUCUACAGAACUAAAGAUCAAGAAACCCUUUUCAAUUGCAAUCUACAGAACUAAAGAUCAAGAAACCCUUUUCAAUCGCAAUCUACGGAACUAAAGAUCAAGAAACCCUUUUCAAUUGCAAUCAACAGAACUAAAGAUCGAGAAAUCCCUUGAUCGGAGGCACCUGAAGUAGGAGCUGCGCGAGAGGAUGAGUCGGUGGAGGCGGUACGUCGAUCCCAUCGCCUCCACCACCACGUCGGAGAACGUGCCGGAGUUGAAACCCUCCGCCCGGAUGUGCUCGCACAGCGCCCCGAGGUUACAAUCGGGCGCCCGGAGCUCCCCUCCUCCUCCGCCGCCGCCGCCUCCGCCGCCGCCGCGGCGAUCGCUCUCCGGCGGCGUCUGGAGACCGAGAUGUGGCGGAGCCGGGAGCGUUGGCGGCGGAACCUGCGGCGGCGGCGGCGGCGCCGGGAGCGGCGCCGGGGACGGGAUGUUCGGCAUUUCGAGGGAUCGGCGGCGGCGAGGCUUAGAGGCGCGCGACGGGGGCACCAUUGCAGUCUCCCGCGGCGGCGGCGGCGAGCGGCGGCGAUGCGCGACGGGGUUCUAGGGCAAUGAGAGCCAUGAAAGAGAUCGCCUUCUCGCUCUUUCGCGCUCUCUCUCUCUCUCUCUCUCUGAGGGUUUCGAAUGGAGUGGUGUCGGUGCGAUUGCGGAGGGAUAGGGUUUUAAUUGCUUAUAUACAGUGGAGAGGAAAAUGGGGCGACGGGGAAUUUGCGGAAGCCCUUCCCAUUGGGGGUGAAUUGUUGCCAUUUUAUUAUCUUUUCUGGUUAAAAGUGCACAAGAGCCCCUCAACUAUAGAAAGUUUUGAAGGAACCACCUCCACCAAUGGUAAAAUUGUAUGCAACAUAUCUGAACUACCACCUUUUUUAGACUACUUAAUCUUUAACAAUUUUAAUUUUAUCAUCUAUUUUUUUAAUUUAUUUAACUGAAGCCGGUGAUGACUCUUUAACUUCAAAUUUUGAAAAUGUUGUUUGUAUUUAUGGGCGUAAUUAGCAUAUUUUAUAUCAUUUAUGGAACUAUAAAUUUAAAAAAAUAAAUGAUUGGCUUAAAUUUUGCAUCAGAAUAACUAUUAAAUGACUUACAUCAAAUAAAUUUUAAAAAUUUAUGUACCAAAGUCAAAACUUUAAAAGAUUCGAUAGUAGAAUCAAAAUAGCCAAUAAAUCAAGUAAUUCUAAACAUUUUAACCUUUUUUUUUCUUUUAUUCACACCAUUUUAACUUUUUGAUUUUUUUAAUUGAGUUUUCUAGUCAAUAAAGUUAAAAUUUUGCUAAAUUAAUAGCAUUAUAAUCAAUAAAACUAUUUUAUUAAAUAUACUUAUUACUUGAUUAAAUUUAAGUACUAUGAAUGUUAUUUUUGGACACUGAAAUUACUGAUUUCAUUAACUAUAAUAAUAAAUAGAAAGAAAUUAUUAAUUUUAAUAAAUUUCAAUUUAGAAAAUGAUUAAAGAAAAAUGGCUUGUAGUUGAUGAGGUUUCCAAACUUCAUAUAUUUUUCUCUCACUCUCUCUCAAGGAGUUAGGAAGGGGAUAAAAAGAUAGUAAUAGAGAGUGCCUUAGAGGUGUUUGAUUUUCUAAAAAAAUAAAGCUACAGGCACAAAAAUAUCUUUUCCAUGAAAACUUCUUUUUCGAAAAACACUCUUUGCCGAGGGGUGUUUGGUUUUUCAAAAGAUAUUUUAGAAAAUAUUUUCCUCACUAAAAAUAUAUUUUUCGUCCAUUUGAUUAUUCAAAUAAAGUAAUUUUUUUUUCUGAAGAAGGUUUUUCCCAGAUUUUAUGAAAAAGUAUUUUUUUUGUUUUUCAUUUUUUAUCUGAAAAACUAAAUUGUGGAAAAGAGUAUUUCUUAUACAAAACUUUUUGUUUGAAAAUAGUUUUCACUUUUUUCUAGGAACCAAUCACCCCACUUCUUGCCUAUAAGGGACUAACAAUCAAAAUACUAUUUUUCUCAAAAAAAAAACAAUCAAAAUGCUAUUAUCAAAACCUAAAAAAUUAUUAAUUUUUUUUACGAUUUUUUAUAAAAUAAUAAAUUUUAUUUGAUCAUAAUAAUCUAAUUUUGACAGAAAAAAUAAAAAGAAUUAUAAUAUAUUUAGUUAAGUUUGGUUUAUUAUUAAAAUAAAUUAUUUUGAAAACUGAAAGAUAUUUUAAUUUAGGUAUAUUUUGAGAAUAUAGGAAUAUAUAUAUAUAUAUAUAUAUAUAUAUAUAUAUAUAUUCUUAAUUUUAAUUAAGCUAAAAUAAAUGAGUUAUUUAUCUAUACCUAUCUAUCUAUACCUUACCAAUACAUUAAUCUCCAUUGCUAAAUCCUACAUGUACCCAUCCCGUUAAUUUGAAGAGAAGUGGGGCCUAUUUUAUUUUUUUACUUUUUCUCUUUUUCUUUAGAUUUAUUAAAGCCUAAAGAGUUUUUUUAACCCAUUUCCUUUACUUUUUGGUCUUCCACUCUNAAUUAGGCUACUAUACUAUCUAUAGUACGGGAGCUCCCGUACUAUAGUGUAGUUUUCGAUCUUCGGGCAUUCAAAUCAACGAUCCACACUGUUAAAACUGAUUUAAGGUAUUUAAAGUUUUUAGAAAUAAAUUUUUAUAUUUUUUCGACAUCGUUUACUUAGUAAAUAAAUUAUGUCAAAAUGGACGGUGGGAAUUGAAUACUCUUUAAAUUUUGAGUAUAGGACUUUUAAAUUUAAGAUCAAGAAUGUUAACCUUAAUCUAUAUAGUUUAAAGUAUUUUCUAUCAAAAUUUGAAGAAAUUUAGAUUCUUCUAUACCGUUAAACUCCCGAUUCGUCAUAAUAGCCAUUGAAAAUUGACAAAUUUGAAAUGUUUUGAUCAUAAAGUAAACUAUGUCGAAAAAAUAUAAAAAUUUAUUUCUAAAAACUUUAAAUAUCCUAGAUCAGUUUUAACGGUGUGGAUCGUUGAUUUGAACGCCCGAAGAUCGAAAACGACACUAUAGUACGGGAGCUCCCGUACUAUAGAUAGUAUAGUAGCCGGACUCCAUAUAUAUCUAUAAACUUAAAUGAAAGCACAAUAUUUCUUGCCACGUGGCAAGUCAUUUUUCAUCCCUUCAUCCUCAUAAAUAAAUAAAUAAAUGAAACUAAUUCCUCUAUCUAAAUAUCAAAUUAACAACCCUUAGUCACAUUAAAUAUCAAAUUCUUUACUCUUGGACUUUUAUCUUAUGAAACCAACCCUUCGCCUUCCCUUCACAUAUAACGUCUAAUUUAACCCUAUCUAAAUGUACCGUAAAUCUAGAAACUCAUCCAAAAGGUCCAAUCUUUUGCCUUCCCUCCGCAUAUAACGUCUAAUUAAUGUAUCCAUUCAUUUUAACCCUAAUAUAAUCGUAAAUCAAAAAAACCCACGCAAAAGCCUCAUUCUCUCCUAUGCAUGUCAUGAAAAUAAAAGCUUAUUUUAUUUCUUAUAAUAAAUUACAACCUCCUUCAUUUAGCAAGAGGUGUGGGAACUAUUUACUUUUUUUUAAAAAAAAUUCCUAAUUUUGAUGUAUUAUCCUCUUUUCAUUUAGUCUGAGGCGUGGGCGAUGCUUCAGGUCAUAGCGAUGGCGGAGGUGGUGAAUGUGAUGGCAUUGGAGACUAAGACGGCUGCGGAAGAAAGCGUGGGCAAUGACAGUGGAGAUCGAGACGGCAGUAAAAGCAAUGGCAAGACUCGCCCUCUUAGAGACCAAUAUUAAGUGAGAGUUUCUCUAUCUUUUCUUUGUUUUCUCUCUCUUCUUAUUUUCUAUUUUUUUAAUCUAUUUUUAACCUAUUUUACAGUAUUUUUUGAAAUUAUUUGAUAGUUUCUAUUUAAGAUGAGUUGGAUUGGAUUAAAAAUCUAAUACUCUGAUAAUACCCAUCCGCCGCAUCGCGCGGGUAACUACACUAGUAUAUAGUAUUUGUAAAUUAUCUUGCAUAUUAUUGUGAGUUAUUUUUUUAGUCAUAUCAACUGCAAUAUGGCAUUUUAUUUGAUUAUUGUGUUAUAAAAAUAAUUUUAAACAUCCAUUUGCAUGAUAUGUGGCCUUUUUUGAACAAGAUUGAAUAAUUUUAUUGGAACAAUUGAUUCUUUUUCAUUAUAGUUUUAUUUUUUUAAAAAGUGUUUGUUUAUAAUAUAGACUAUAUUCAUUAUUUUUUGUACUAAAUUGAUAUUUUAUUAUUUAUAAAUUUUUAUUCUAACAGUAUCUACUCAUCGUAACACGCGGGUUAGUACACUAGUUAUACAACCAACGGUGGUUUCUUCUUUUAAAAAAGAAACUUUUCAAUUUAAAUGACAGUAACUAAAGUUCAGUAACCAAAUUUAAAUAUGGGGAUAGUAUGAGGGCCUGUCCACAUAUUGCACCCGAUAUUUUGUUUUUUUCUUUUUAAUGUCCUCAUAUGGAGAUUUUAUACGGAUAUUCCGUACGGGAGCGUCCCCUCUUUUCUCCCCGGGCCCUAAUCCUCUUCGUCGUCGUCGUCGUCCUCCUCACAUACCUCUCUCGUUCCCGAGCUCCCUCACCUCUCCAAUGGCCGAUGGGGGAGAUGACGCCGACGAGGCGGCGGCGGAGCUCACCGACAAGCAGAAGAAGGAGAUCGCCAAAUGGUUUCUCACCAACGCCCCCGCCGGAGAGAUCAACUACGUCGCCAAAGGUCCCCUCUCUCUCUCUUUUCCCCCUCAAUUACUUCGCUAUUUUCUUCUUCUUUGAUCUCUAUAUCGCUGUAGAACUAUGCAGAUAUACGUUCGCUUCUCGGCAACGAUCGUGUCUACGAGGCGGCGGCGGCCGAGGCGUUCCCGAUUUACAACAAGAGCCAUUUGGUCGCGCUCGAGAUGCCCGAUAGGAGCGGCGAUGUGAGUGCGUAAUGCGAUGAUUGCAUGCUCUUUUCUUAAGUUUGAUGAUGUUGUUUGUUGGAUCAUUUAGAUUGUUUGCAUGGUAUGAGCUUGGAUUUUGCCAUCGUUAGUGUGUAAUUGAGCGUUUAGGUGGUGUUUUUUUAGUCGCGGGAUUUGAUUUGGGACUUUGGAAUUGUAGAUGAUUUGUUUGCAGAGUACAAAAAUGCUGAUACGAGAUGAAGUAUGAUGAAGACGAGAUACAACAAUCUAAACAUUAGAUACUUCAUAAUUUAGGUGCAGAUUUCUAUUAAACCCAAACUGAAGGUUAACAGGCUUCACCUCUUAGGGAUAACUUGCUUCAUGUUGAAUGAGCUCCAAGGAAUUGUUAGAAUGUAAGUUCAAUGCUGCAAUUAUCCUAGCCAAAAGCGUCUGCGCCAUGAGAUCACAAAUUGAUAAUAAUGUUGAUCUAGGGAUCUGAUAAUUCAAGUGCUUUUGGGCCUUGAAAACAAUUAUGAUUUUGUUAAUGUUGCCAUGAGUGCAUGGUUGUUGGCCCAUGGGAACAACUAGGACUAUAGUGUUAUUCAUGUCAAUCAUUGCAUUCUAAAUGUUUUGUCAACAAUUGUCACUUUAAACUUUUAGGAUGAUAUUUGUACAUAUAUAGAGUUAGUGGGCAGUCUAGAGUAUGUUUUUAUCAAAAAGAGGAAAAUUCUUUCAUUAAUUGUUUUUAUCAAAAAUUGCAAGACAUUUUGUUACAAAAAGACAUGUGUCAUGUACUUUUUUCUUUGUGGUUUAUCAAUGCUUUUCCAGCAGCAAACAUGUGGUUAUAACAUCUUUAACUGUAGUCCAUGACUUCAGGUAGUCCUUAACAGACAUAUUUAACCUUCUCAAACAUGCUUUUUUUCCAUUCUUACUGCUUAGCUAGUUAAUUUCUUUUUUCUUGCAUUUGCAAAUUCACUAUAUUUUGUUGCACAAUUAUAGGUAAUCAUUACGCCCUAUGGAGAACUUGACAAAUGCAAUUACUUUGAUCCCAGGACGAUGCAGGUUGCUACUGUGGAUCAUAUGAAGCAGGUAAUCUCCCAAUCUUUACUCUCAUCUGAGCAUCUUACACUUCUAAAAUUAUUUGUUUUCUUGCUUGGAAAAAAAACUGUUCAAUUUGAAAACAUAUGUUGUUGAAAACUUGCUUAUAACUGCCAAUAAAAGGCAUCUAAUAUUGAGAUGUUAAACAGCAUAUCUUGUUAAGCUUUGGAAUGAUGUGAGAACAUGGAUUGAUGUGAAAAGCAUAUGUUGUUAAACAUGGCUGCUGGGGUUGGGUAUGGAUUGGGUGAGGCCCAUAUAGCACCAUAUAGAACUAGACCCAACUAUGAGUGGGUGAAGGAGACUGUAUUCCAAACCGGCCUACAAGAGAAACGGUUUAACCCGAACUCAUCGACUUAGAAAUAAAGAGCUGUACUUGUCAAAUUGGUCUCCGUGUUACCUCCAUCAGCGAGAUUGAGUAGCGACUGAGAAUGAUUGGAGCUAGGGAAAGUGGGAGAGUAAUAGAAUGAGAAGAAAAAUGACAGUGCGAAAGAGAAACUUGUGAGCUGCCAUGAUCUGCUGGCUCAACGACUCUCGACCCAAAUCCCUGCGAGCCUGCCAGGAAUCAAAUGAUAUUUACCUUCCCUUAUGUGACCAAUGGGUUAAGCGUGUCGAGUUGUGUUGUGUCAAGUUGAACGAGGAGGCUGGUGCCGAGAUUGUGACUCCUAAUAACUAGCAUACCUUGAGAAAGCUGCUCCAGUCUGUGCCUAUAGGUCUUUGUCCAUGCAUUUUGAUGGAUAGAAAGAACCUUUUCUUUUUUCAUCUGGACGGGGUUCUUUUUUUUUGGUUCUUGCCAAUUAUCUGGCAGUAUACAUUUUACUACAUAUUUUAUGCUAAUAAUUACAGUCAGUCCAAGUUAGUCUGGAGGUAUUGGCUAUUGAUGCUGAUCUUUGCUUUAUUUGGUUAAAUAUGUAACUCAUAUCCAUUAUAGGUCAAAAAGUAAUUCUUCAAUUUCUGUAAAUUAAUCUAAAUAUAUCUUGAUAGAUAGGAUAUACAGAAAAUAGCAUGUCAGGAAAGGUAAUUAUUCAAAUGCAUUAGCCUUAUAUAUUCGUCACCCAUAGAAUUUUCAGCCUAUGUGUUGAAUAAUACUGUCUAGCAAAUGAACCUGCAGGUAUCAAGAGUAAGAUUGUUUCCCCAGUUGCUUUAGACUAUUAAGAGUUCUUUUCCACGUACCGGCCGUCCCUAGCGCAAGUGGCAAAGAGCUUGGUGGUUGGUACCCGAUGUCCCAAGUUCGAAUCCUAGUUGAUUCAUAUUUUCUAGCUAAGUUUAUUUCUAGAUGAAAUAAAUGAAGCGGGUAGCGUGCUACCUAUCUCUCAAAAAAAAAAAAGUUCUUUUCCACGUAGAAUUCGGAUUUGAUCAAUUAUAUUGAUUUUAAGUAUUUUUUUAAUUUGUGCGAUGAAACAUGUGAAUAUUCUAAGCUAUACCAAUUCUAUGCUAUUGGAAGCUUUGUAAUGCAUUACUUUUAGUUCUCAUUGUUCUCUUGCUACAAGCAGAUAUAUUGAAAUGACAGCUUGCUUAGAUUGUAUUUCUUCAUUGACAACUCAGGUUUGCACAAAAGUUAGAGCCGCUACAGAUGAAGAGCUUCCAUCUUCGUAUGUUGAGGAGUUUCGGUAUGUUACUUUAGUUUCAUAAUGACCUUAUCUGAAUUAUCCGGGUCUAUAUAUCUUUAUUGCUUGAAUAUUAUUUUUUAAUUAACAAUUAAUUCAUUGAUCGGCAGAUUUCUAUCUAGUCUUCUGCCUGUUAGUAAAAUGUUGAUAUCACAAUUUUUUAGUGAAAACCUUCCUAAAUCAAUAUAAAUUUUUUCUAGUCGUUUUCUGUGUUUCUUUAGAUUUCUUUUAUUUAUUUUCUGUGCCCAUUAAUGUAAGCUGUAUGGAGAAUUCCUGAUAUUGCUUGGAAAUGUAUGUUAUUAAAAGACUAUACAGUUUUCCAAAUGGGACUACCUGCUGAAUGCCCUGUUAAGAACAGCUAAAUCUUCACCAAGUACUAAACUGAUUGAAAGAAACCACUGCUACUGCUGUUGCUUACGUUUCAUUCUCUUCCUCGUAUCACCUUGAACAUGUGAAGUUGUAUUUCUUGAUUGGCAAGUUUGCAAUCUUUUGUAGUGCAUGUUUCCUCCUUUCUUUCUUCAACAUUCUUAAUUUUCGUUGUUGUAUGUGUAUGUCUAUGCAUAUAUCUUGUCGAUAUACUUGCAUACUUCACACUGCUUUACAAAUGUUUGUUGUGAUCACUAGGGAGUACUUUCAACAUGUAAAUUGAUUUUCUAGCGAUUGAAAAAUGCUGCUUUAUAUCAUUCUAUGUUACAUGUGAUAGGAUGGGAAUAUGCAAUGGAUUGUAUUGUUUAUUAUUCUAUUACCUCUAAUUAAUUAUGUGCCACUCUUGAUCUAAUAUCUAAUUCUUUUGUGGAUCAUAUUGAAACAGGAUUGCCUUGGAUAAUGAACUAGUGAAGUAUGUUAGUGAGACAUAUCCAAAAGGAAUAUGUGCAGUCUAUUGCACUGGUGGAAAACAUGUUGAAGGACCAGGAGCUGACUUUGGGUUUGCAAUAAUUAUUUCUGCCGCUAAGCAUAGCCCACAAAAUUUCUGGUGUGUGAAUUAUGUAAUCCUUUAGUUUGAUUUCCUUAUUUGAAUCCUGUUAUACUGGUUCAAACUCCAGAUAUAUUUUUCUAGUUCAUUUUCUUAUAGCUGGGUAACACAGCUUAUAUUCUUGACUAAGUCACGCAGUAGUGUUUUCUCUGAGCAUGAUGAUCAUAUUCAGCCAAUCUGUGAGCCUUGCUAGCAAACUAGUUGUUUCUCUUGCAGUAGGAUGCAUUAAUAAUGUUGUGAGAGCAAUAUAUGCAAUUAAAGACUAGCACACAUGGUUUGAUAAUCAGGAGAGAACGAAACAAACCAGAGAGUUAGUUUGUAGCAGGUACAUUGUGGAAAAAUGUCCUAGUAAUAUCUGUUGAUCAAAAUAAUUGAGAUGGCAGCAUUAGAGGCUCGAGGUCAACUUCUUCCACAGUAUAAAGUAGUUUGACAGCAGCUCUAGUGAUAAUGCAGAUGUUUGCUACUGUUUUUGUGUAGUAACAACAAUCCUAUGAUACUAUCACCAUUUGUUUGCACUUCUCAGAAUCACAAAUCUUCUUUUGUCAAUAGCCAUUUUAUUUAGUGUGUUUUACAUCCAUGUCAAGAGAUAUGGCUAAUUGUAUUUAGUCCAUAGACUGUUGCAAGAAGGCUUUAUGUGGAUAUGUUUCUCCCAAAUUCAAUUAAUAUUAAUUAUUAAUUAUUUAAAAGCCAUAGGAUUUUUUUCUUUUCUUUUCUUUUUUUUUUUGUGAUUUUGAUGAGCCACGAUAACUGAUUCUCCAGCAAUGGUAGCUGGCGCUCAAGUUGGAGUGUAGAUUUCAAGGAUGAUUUGCAACUCGUGGAAUUGAAAGGAAAGAUGCAGGUGGCAUAUCCAUACUUUUCACAAUCACUUCUAGCGCACGCAUUCUACACGAAUUACCAUUUAAUGAUCAUUUUUACUACUUGCACUUCAUGAUUGUCAGGUAGGUGCCCAUUAUUUUGAGGAAGGAAACGUGCAACUAGAUGCAAAUAAUGAGUGCAAGGACUCCACCAUAUUUCAGGUAAUCACUAGCAAACUACUUAAUAAAAUUUAAGAAAUAUGCUCGUAAAUGCAAUGGCAUGCUAUGAUAUUCCUGGUCACAGCAUAUGAUUUUAGAACAUGUACGGUGUAUUGAGAAAUUUCGCCUAACAAAUGGUGGCUGCAACCACUCAAUGGUAACCAAUAGCAAUUGCCUUCACCUAAUCCCUGCCACUUAUCAUCAUAUAUAAAGCAAUUGCCAUAGCAUACAAAUUCCUUUUACCAAGUCCAUGUUUUCUUGACCAUAGACUUGUUUCCUAGUGUGUUGGUUGUGCUAAUGUUCUCACAUGAAACUGCUGUUUUUCAGUCCCCUGAAGAUUGUGCUAUUUCAAUAACCAACAUGAUACGCCAUCGUGAGACUGAGUAUAUGACAUCUCUUGAGGUCUUGCCCUAUCUUUUUGGUUUAGCUAAGCCUAAUUCGAGGUGACCUAUUGAUUGAUACUGACUCUUCCUCAUUGCAGGCAUCUUAUUUAAAUUUACCUGACACCACUUUCAAGGUAUGUGGAGCAGUGAUAAGCUAGUUCUAAAUUUUUAUUUUAGGAAGUUCAAAUAGUAUUAUUUACUUCUUCGGGAAGAGCAAGAAAAUAUUAUCUCAUACUUGUUUACAAGGCCUCUCACAAUUAUGAUUUUGUCAAAUACAGUUGUGCUGCACUUGUUUGCCUUUUAGCUUUUCAGCUGCUUCUCUAUUUGAGAAGAAGCAGCCAUGAAUUUGGUAAAAGUUGAGAGCUCUAGGCUAUAGCGAGAUGCCAAAAUGAGGUUUUAUGUCUCAAAAACAGAAGUUCUAAUUUGAAGCUUCUAAUUUCUACCUUUAGCAGGAAGCUAUUGGGGUCAUUUUAACGAAAAGUUAUUACUGCUUUAUCAAACAGCUCCGCUCUCAUAGCAUCUGGGCUAGAGAAGGGCAAACAGUGUUUCUUUUAUCUUGCACUCUCCUAAUUAAGAAUUUUGGCAAUCUUGUUUGUCUAUUACCCUGCAAACUGUAAGAGAUUUUGAAAAUGUACCUUUGUAUUCUCAGCUGAUAUAUCUCAAAUCACUUGUAGAGCUAUAAACAAUUUGAUUGCUUCAAAACCAACUUGGUAGUGCUUGUGAUGCAGGAUCUUCGGAGAAAACUUCCAGUUACUCGCACUCUUUUUCCUUGGCAUAGUACUUUCCAAUUCAGCCUGAAUAGAGACCUUGCCAAAGAUCUCGGGAUUGGAAAGUGAAGGUGAGAAAAGAUUAAAAAAAAAAAAAAAAACCCGAAGGAAAGAAAUCGGCUUUCACUUAACAUUUUCACCUCCAGGCUUCUGUUUCUUGCGAAGUGUCAGAAAAUUUGACCUCUUGGGUCAUACCUUAGUUCUUCGAAAGCUGGAUCUAGCUCUUUUCAAGGUCAUGGGUUAAAAGUGAUGUCUAUGUUGAAUUACAACCAUUCGGCCUUGUAAGAAUCUCUCAUGUGAAUGUAUAUUGGAUACAGCACACAUCAUUUUCUUGUGAAUCUAUUGUAUCGAGAUUUUAUGUGCUUCAAAGCAGUGAAAGUUGCAUGGCAUGUUGUGUGAAGAAGGAAGAACUCGAUGGUUCUUGCAGAUUUUGCUCGCAACUCUGAAAAACUUGCAGUUGUUGCAGUUUCGCACACAGUAAUACCGUAUUUUCCGGCGGCAAUUUUUUUUCACCCUCCAAAUUGAUGCUGUGAUGAUGCUAGAAGACUAGGGAUGGCAAUCCAGCUCGUUGUUCGCGAGCCAGCUCGUGUUCGGCUCGAAAUGAGCUUGAGAUCGAAUCGCUCGUUUAGUAAACGAGCCGAACACGACUUGAAUUUUUCAUUUAAUAAACGAGACGAAUACGAGUUGGGGUCAGCUCGCUCGUGUUCGGCUCAAUAACGAUUCGAAUACAUAUAUUUUUAUAUUUAUAUAAUUUAUUUAAUUUAUAUAUAUAAAUAAAUAAUUAUAUAUAUAAUAUAUAUUUUUUUAUUAUUUUAUUUUUAGUAAAAUAAAAAUAUAAAGUCGAGUUCAAUUAUAAAAAGAUUCACUUAUAUAUAAAGUUUUAACCAUUUGAUUAAAUGAAUAAGAUUUUAUAAAUUUAAUUUUUAUACAUAUCCAAUUUAAUUCUUUUAACUUACUCGUAUUCGGCUCGUUUAUUAACGAGCCAAACACGAGCUAAAAUUUUUAGCUCGAUACUUAAAUGAACCAGAUCAUGUUCGGCUUGUUUAUUAAACGAGCCGAACAUAAGCAGGCUCCAACUUGCUCGUGUUCAGAUCGUGGACACCUCUAUAGAAGACUAUUGUUUGGGUUUGGAUAUAAAUAAGAGCUGCUUAUUUUAGAAAUAGAUAUAAGUUUAGAUAUAAAUAAGAAUUAGACUAAUUUUGCGUUUGGAUGAAAUUUGAAUUGUUUCUAAAAAUAAGAAAAUUAGUGGAAUAAAAAGAACCCCGUGCGAUCGACCACGUCGCCUUUAGCUGCUAGCCGUAAUAACUCGUACUAGAUAUGGUGAACUUUAUAAAUCUUUAGUUUUAAAUAUGUAAAGGCUAUAAUAAGAGAAUAGGUAGUUUCCCAAAGUUUUAAAUAUUAAAAUUACCAGCUAUACUCUGCAAAAGAACAAAUUGCUGCAUUUCUAUAAGUUUAGUUAACUUAAAAACAAUCUUUUAAAAAAUUUGAUAAAUUUUAUUCUAGAUAUGAAAACUAGAACUGAUGUUCUGAGGAUAGUAGUAAAAAAUUUCUUAUAAAUAAAAGUCGACAAAUAAAAACACAGGUGAGCUAUCUAUUCUUUUGUUAUAGCUUUUUCAUACUUCAAACUAAAGAUCUAUUAAGUUCACCAUAUCUAGUACAAGUUGCCACGGCUAGCAGCUAAACUUUCAAGGUAGUAGCUUUUAUUUAUCCACCGUUACUUUUGGCGAAUUGAUAUAUAUAUAUAUAUAUAUAUAUAUAUAUAUAUAUAUAUAUAUAUAUAUAUACUCUGGUCUAGGGACGCCCCUUAAAGCAGCUUGUGGAACGCGCGCGGCGGGCUCGUGGGCGUGGCGGGCAUGACNAUAUAUAUAUAUAUAUAUAUAUAUAUAUAUUAUUCUCCCUGUUAGCAUCUAUUUACCAAUUUGGCUUAAACCCGACCUAACCUGAUUUCAUGCCAACCAAAGAUUUUGGGCCUUUUUGGUCUAAGAACCGGUCCAUCGACAAGCCCACUAGAAAACUUCCGGUCCAGUCCGGUUUGGACCCGUCCGACCACCGGUCGAGCCAGUUUUCGAAUACACCGACUUAUAGGAUAGUAACGACGCCAUAUCCUACUUCCUUUUCCCUCUUCCCUCUACGCUAGGGUUUCGUGGUGCUCUGAUUCGACCUCUCCGCCGCCAUGGUGAGUUCUCUUCUUCCCCACAUAGGGUUUCGAACCUGUCUCGUUCUCUUUGAUCUAUCUCAUAUUCGUGGAUGGAACCCUCCCCCCAUUUGUUUCCUUUUGCCCUCAAUUUCGAUUCUUAUGGCUUUGCUUUUUUUUUUUUCUCAAUUUUUAGCCGCAAGGAGAUCACAUCGAGCUUCACAGGAAGCGCCAUGGCUACCGCCCCGAUUACUUCGAGCGGAAGCGGAAGAAGGAGGCUCGGGAAGUACACAAAAGAUCAGAAUAUGCUCAAAAGGUAAGGCCGCCAUAAACGCUUAAUUUUUUUUAGGUUUAUGUUCUUGUUUUCAAUGGGAAUCGCUUUCUCUCGAUGAUUUUCUGAUUUAUUAUGACUUUGUUUGUAUAGGCUCUUGGUAUUAAGGGGAAAAUGUUUGCGAAGAAAAGAUACGCGGAGAAGGCGCUGAUGAAGAAGACGUAAGCUUCGUUGUUCAUCUUUAAUUAUUUGAGCUGUAAAACGUAUUCAAAAUCUAUUUGGCUUCGUUUAGUUCAUGUGUCAACAAUUGUUGCUAAUUGCAGUCAUACUAGGACAUAAUUUGAGUAAAUUAAACCUGGGUGGUGAUUUCAAACCUUUUGAGAGUUGAGACGCAGCAUCGAUUUAGGCAAUUACAGGAAUUUGAAGAGUAAAAGAUCUUAGAAUCUGCUCAAUCUGUGAGCAUAUCAGAUUGCUACUAGAGAUAAGCUUAUGGUUAAGGAUUCAAGUGCUGUGGCAUCGGGUCAUGUAACUUGUGUUGAAAACUUGUUUGUAUUGUAUGUGUUGGUUACAAAAAUACUUACGUGUCCACACACUAUGACAUGAAAUAUUUAUUUAUUUUUUAACCUAAUGUAUUUAAGUGCUUAUGAUAUAUUUUUAUCAUAUCUUUUGUACUUUAUUGAGGCAACAACACACUAAUUUUCACAGAAAAAAGAGUUUUAAACUGUGCCAUUGGCACAGAGGUGGUAUUGUGCCAAUAUUUUGUCAGCACAGUGAGCAUAGCCCGUGCCGAUAGAUACUUAAAACCUUGCUUAUUAUGUUAUAGAAAUGUCCUUCUAAGUCAUCUGAUUCAGGGACGAAGGUAAUGAUUCGUAAUUGUUUAUAUUUAUCAAGAUUGUUCAAAUAGAGUAGACGACGAAAGUUAUGAUUGUUUAUAUUAACAAGAUUGUUCAAACAGAAUAGUGGGUACACUCCUUUUGUACUAUAGAAGGAUGUGAAGGAAGUUUGGAAUCUUUAGAUGCUAAACAUUUUAGUUUUCAUUCAGCUUGAUUGAUGCUUAUCUUGAUGAAACUCCAAACCUAUGAUCAACAAGUCAAAGAGGUCCAUAACCGAAAAAAGAUAUAUUUUUUACGGUCGAUGUGAAACUUCUUUCUAUGACCUGUAAAAGUUUGGGGUCAGUCGUCUUUAGUUAAUUGCUACUUUACAUACCUUAAUAUGUAUAGACAUGUUUGCUUUGAAGAAAUUAUGGAAAUUGCUGUAUCAAUCCUGCCUCGGUAAGCUGAUAAGCUAGUGCUAAAUUGUUUUUUCUUUUUCUUUUUCUUUUUUAUUUUACAGGAUUGCUAUGCACGAGGAGUCAUCAACGAGACGCAAGGUGGAUGAUAAUGUUCGUGAUGGAGCAAUUCCUGCCUAUUUGCUUGAUCGUGACACAACGACACGUGCAAAGGUUACUGGUUAUACUUAGUCGGCAUUCUCACUAUAUAGCAUGUUGUGAAUAUUUUAUUCUAGUUUGGCGAAUUGACAAUCUUUUUAAGUUUCACAGGUUAUCAGCAAUACAAUCAAGCAAAAAAGGAAGGAAAAGGCUGGCAAGUGGGAUGUUCCUUUGCCUAAAGUGAGUUUCCUUUAAAAUGAUUUCAACUGUUUCAUGUUGCAAACUUGCAAUAUAUUUGGCUGGUCUAUGUUAAAGGGAUCUGAUUUCUAAAUGUCACUAACAUUAGCAGAGUCAUAUCCUCUUCUAGUAUGUUGUACUCAAUACUCUUAUAUUCCUUAUCUUUUUAGGUGAGACCUGUUGCUGAAGAAGAGAUGUUUAAAGUUCUUCGCACUGGCAAGAGAAAAAGUAAGUAUUGCUGCUGAAACUUGAUUUCUUAAUCUGUUUCUUUUUCUGUAAUUAGCUAUGACUGUUCGUUUAGUCACUUCUAACAUCAAUAAAAGACAAAUCUAAGAUGAUUGUAAACCACCUGAACAUAAUGAUGUAUGAGAAAUGAUAAGUAGAAAAUAUUAGAACGACCUUUGCAAAGUAUCUGCUUGAUUCCUUUGCUGGAGUUAAACAUUGUAGUCAGGGUUUAUCUUAUCCAACUAGUCUGCUGCAUUUCAAAUCAAUCAUGUCUGCUUGAAUGUUCUUUUCUAUUUCUCGUUUUGGACCUGUUUAAUUCAUAUUUCACUUAGGAAGCUGAAGAGGCAGUGUAGAAAGUCCAAUCAUCAUAUCUUACAGAUAUAUUACAUUGCUGGACUUAGAACUGGUUUGAGUGUUAGAUUAACAGUCUUUAACUUAGUAUUAAUUUGAGCUCCUCUUUUUAAACGAAAUAAAGAGGGGACAGUGGUAGAUAAUCCUAUUAUUGUACCAAGCUCAAGGGAAAUAGAAGCUUAUGCUCGUUACUCGGUAUUGGGUAUGGAAGGUAUCCUUUAUUCUGAGGAUAACAAUGCUAUGGUGGUUGCUGGAAUAGCAAUAUCCCCAUGUAGGCCCCAUACAACAGCUAAUUUUCAUCUUUCCUAGACCUGAACAGUGGGAUAACACCCAGAGCUGAAGUCCUCUUUGAGAUUCCUCUGUAGUACAUACAAUGUGUGGACAUGCGCAUGCUUAAACUGUUAAUUAUUUGUUGUUGGUACUUUAAUUAUGAUCUUUGUAAGGUGAUUUCAGAAUUCAGAUUUUACGAAUGUUAUCUUUGUUUGUUCCUGAUAAAGAAUUUUUUUCUUAUGAAUGAUCACUUCAUGUUGUACUAUGCAUGAGGCGAACCUGCCAAUUGCACAACUUUUAAACAUAGGGAACCGCUCACCUUCUGAUUUAUCAUCUAAUCCUAUUGUUCUGCCAUCCAGCCAAGCAGUGGAAGAGAAUGGUCACAAAAGCGACCUUUGUCGGGCCAGGGUUUACGAGAAAGCCGCCAAAGUACGAACGCUUCAUUCGCCCUACGGGCUUGCGGUUUACUAAAGCUCAUGUGACUCACCCCGAACUGAAGUGCACUUUUAAUCUUGAUAUAAUUGGGGUGAAGAAAAAUCCUAACGGACCAAUGUACACUUCUCUUGGAGUAAUGACGAAGGGAACAAUCGUAGAGGUAUGAAAUGGGCACUUAAUAUUCUUUGUUCGUUUCAUUUUUCUUUCUUCCUUAGGGUCUUUAGGGUCUUUUUUUUUUCCCAGCUAGUUGUUGGCUAGCUGUUCGCAGUUUUAAAGCACCAACCUUGGUGCUCUUCGUCACUAUAGCUCUCAUUUGGCCCCCAUCAAACAUACCAGGGCCAGAUGGGCUUGUUAGUGCCUUUUUGAGCUGUCUUCAGAAUAGCUUCUGCACUUUGAAAAGCGGUAGCCAGGUGUCCAAUUAGUAGCUUUUUAUUCAGUACCUGUUACUCAAUUGGGCCUUAAUUGAAAACUGUUCUACGAAUGUCGAAUCUAUGAUAUUGUUCGGGAACUUCGUCUACUAUGCAGCAAUUUUCUCUGACGUAUUACGUUGCUGUCUCUCUAUUCAGGUAAAUGUGAGUGAACUUGGUCUUGUUACUCCUGCAGGAAAAGUAGUUUGGGGUGAGAAACUCAGCUCUACAUCUCGUUGAAGAUUUGCAUUCUCCUCUACUCUUUCUCUCUGAAUCCUAAUUAUUUUUCUUGUUGGUUGCAGGUAAAUAUGCGCAAGUUACAAAUAACCCUGAGAACGAUGGUUGUAUCAAUGCCGUGCUACUUGUAUGAGAAGUGCUUUUCUGCGUAGUAUUUACAGGGAUUUUAUGUGUUCUUUGUCCUUAACAUCUUAAUGUACUCUUCAUGGCAAAAUUUUGAUCGAGUUUGAUCUUUAUAACAGCUUAGUUCUACUCCUGAUAUUGUGUUUGCCCUUUUGCAGUAUGGCUAGUUACUUUUCGAACUCCAUUAUACCCAGGCAUUGUUUUAGCCCAAUUUAUAUUGUGCCUGGAUUGGGACUCUUUUAAAAUCUUUUUGUAAUCUCGGCUCGAAAUUUUUUUUUUUUUUUAAAAUUAUCAAAUUAAAUGAAACUGAGGGGUAGAAAACUUAAAAAAUUAUCUCUUUUUUUUUUUUCUGUGAUAUUACUGGAUUGUACUCUACUAUCCUGUAGUUUAAGAUUUAUAAAUUUAUAUUUUGUUGUUUUAAUUUUUAUUGGGGCUUGCUCUAAAGUAGUAAGUAACAAUGGCUCCGCACUUCAGGGGAAAGCUUUUGAAUUGUGCCUCUUGGAAGGCUUUUUAUAGAAAUUUUGCGCAAACUAAUGAAAGUGUACUUAUAAUUUAUAUAUGGCUAAAUUACAGAAAAUUUUUUUGUUAAAAUUCAAUUUUUUACUUUCUCUUUGUGUCAUUUAAAAAUUUAUAUUUUACCCUUUUGUAAAAUGAAAAAUGGCACUUCAUCUAGUGAUUCAUUAGGAUUUCGUUAUAAAAUAUUUUUUAUGUCAAAAAUACCCCUUCGUCUUUUUUCGUGUUGCUUCGUCUCCCUCUGGCUCGCCACUUUGCUGCCGUCUCGUACUCCUCCACUGCCUCGCCCUCGCCCACAUCCCCUUUGCCCUCCUUCGCCGCCUCGCUCGUUGCUCUUGCCUACCUCUCCAUCAGCGGGCGGCGAGAGUGCAGGAGGAAAUCAAGGCCGAUCGAGGUGUGAAUCGCGGCAGCGGGCGGCGAGAGUGCAGGAGGAAAUCAAGGCUGAUCGAGGUGUGAAUCGCGGCGGUUAAGAAAGAUGAGGAAGGAGACGAAAAUAAUGAGGGACAAAAUGGUCAUUUUACACAUCGGACGAAAAUAAUGAGGGACAAAAUGGUUAUUUUACACAUCGUACCUUUCUGUGAAUAUUUUUUAUUUUAUAAGGGGGUAAAGUGUAGGUUUUUAAAUGACAGGGAGAAAAGUGAAAAAUCGAAUUUUGACAGAAAAAUUUUACUAAUUUAGCCUUUAUAUAUCCCUUAUAUAUUAUCCGUGUUUAGCUCUCAAUGUAACUAAUGAAAAUCUACUUAUAAUUUUUCUAUUUUCAAAAAUAUUUUUUUCAUUUUUAGACGAGUAAUUUUAAUAUAGGAAUAAUAUUUAAUAUACCCGUCAAAAUUUUUAAAAUAUUUUAUACAUUUUUAUUCUUGUUUUGUUUCAAAUAUAUUCCUUCUUUCUUUUUCAAAAUAAUUUGCUGUUAAUACUUGUUAACUCAUAUUUAGUUAAAACAUGAGUUUAAAUUUCUACCCUGGUAUAAAAAAAGUCAAAAUAUCUAUUUUGCUCCUAACUUAAAGGUAAAUAAAAAAAAUUGGCGACUUUAGAAGACUAUUUAAAAAGAUAAAAAAUCAAAAUACUUUUUUUACUCAUAAUUUAAGGGUAUAUAAAAAAAUUGAUAAUUAUAGAAGAAUAUAUUUGAAAGGACAAGAUAGUAAUUUUAUUGAAAUAACAAUUGUUUCUAGUAGUUCACUAGUAAAAUUUAACUUUACUAGUAUAUUUAAAUAACUCAGAAUGUUAAAAGUAUAUUUUUAAUAUUAGUCUUUUAAAAGGAGUAAAUAAGUAAGUUUGAAUUUUUAAAAAAUAUAUAAACAAUUGCCUCUUUAAUAAAGCUAUUCCUUGAGGAACUAUGUCAAAGGCGGAGGGAUUCAUGUGAAAUUAUGUCAAAUAUUACAAUUAAAGGGUUAAUUUAAAAUUUUGCCAUAGUUAAGGGGGAUCGAUGCGUUAUUAUCAUCAGUAUUUGUAUGCAACAAGAGGUACAGUAGUUAGUGUUCUUUCGAGUCGACGCGGAAAUUUUCGUCCUCGCGGCGAAGCCCUCUCUCUGCUCACGUCCGUGCGAUUCUAGGGUUUCAAGAAUCCUCGUUACAGGCACCAAAACCUAGGGUUUGCUCUCUCUCCCUCUCAAAUCCCUCGAUCUUGUGAUUCCUUUAAUCCCUACUCUCUCAAAGCGCGGAUUUAGAAGAUUAUUUGAUCUUUUUACGAAGGAUCUCUAUCACUGGUUUCAGGAGUACUUCCUCGAUCCGUGCGGUUUAUUACAGCCCAGGAAAGAUGGUGCGUUUCUUUUCGGAACUAAUUUUGAUGUGUUUUUUUUUUUUUUUUUUUUUUUUUUUUUUUUUUUUUACUUUUUGAUCUAAUAUUGAAUCUUUUGGUUUGUUUGCAGCUUCCGCUGUCACUUUUAAAGACGGCUCAAGGGCAUCCCAUGGUAGGUGUUUUGGAUUUGGGUUUUGAAAGGUCUUUUUAGGUCGAUUAGGGUUUUGAAUUUGUUGGAUGUGCUUUGAUUGGAUCAGCUGGUGGAGUUGAAGAACGGGGAGACGUACAACGGGCACUUGGUGAAUUGCGAUACGUGGAUGAAUAUUCACCUGCGCGAGGUGAUCUGUACCUCAAAGGUGACUCCUUUCUAAUUUUGUUUCAAGUUCGUGAUCUCUGCUCCUUUUCUUUUAAUUUUAUCUAUUGCUUAUAAAAUGUUGUUGUGGUUGUAGGAUGGUGAUAGGUUCUGGAGAAUGCCCGAAUGCUACAUUCGUGGGAACACUAUAAAGUAUCUGCGAGUUCCUGAUGAGGUUUGAGUAAUGAGAUCUUUUUCUAAAGAUGUUUAUUAGUUUUCUAAUUAUUUGCAUUUCAUCAAGCUUCUAAUGGAGUUUUUGUUUGUUGCUGCAAGCAUGUUUCGUAAUUAAUCACACUCUAAUUUGAUAAUUGUAAACUUUCGUAACAUAUCUUACACUUUGAGUAAUUAUCCCACUGAGCCGAUGGACAAAUCUUUCUUGAUUAGAGCUUUAUUUCUCGCAAACAGUCGAGAACCUGAACUGUUGAAUCGUGUUAAAUUUCCCAUCUCAGUUAUUUUGAUUGAACCAAUUAUUUUGUUCAUUUUGUUUUCUUCAGCCUAGUUGUUUUGUGUUAGACGGUUAGUGUUUCAUUUUUUGGGCUAUUCCAGUGGCAAUUCUUGAGUCAGUCAAAAAUAAUUUUCUCUUGAUAUUGCAUCGAAAAGGAAUUUCGUUUCACUCUGCUUGUAAAAUUCUCUACCUUACAAUCGGUUAUCAAAUGAAUUUAUUAAAAUAAAUUUUCUUAUAAAAGACACUAUUUUGCUUGAAUUUUCUUUUGGAGUUGGCAUUUUUUUUUUUUUUUGUAAUUGACACAAGAUCGAGUGUGAUCUCAUGCUUUCCUUUCCUUUUUAAAAAACUUGUACUUAGAUGAGUACUUCAUUAUUGGCAGAAAGUUAUGCCCCGAUCAGAUCAGUCUGGCCCCUAAUUUGGUGUAUUUGAUUAUGAUUAUUAGACAGUUCAUGAACUUCCAAGCCCUUCUAUAGUACUUUUUCAAACGGGAUGGCAUUAUCUUUCUUUAAUUACUUAGUUUGGUUACAACAUUUUUUCUAGGUCAUUGACAAGGUUCAAGAAGAAACCACGAAGAGCCGUUCAGGUAUUCCUCUCAUCCUUCCGUAAGUUAAUGAAAUUUAGGGCCUGUUUAUUUAACAAGAUCUUUUUUUUCUCGCUCUUCAUAGUUUGAUUGCGCUGCCAUGAUAUUUGAGGCUUAAAGUAUGUUUAUCUACUUUUUCUUAAUUUCCAUUCUAUAUUGCCUUUCUAAACUCAGGCGUGUAGUAUCUGGGUAGUGGAAGAAGCUUGGUUCGGAAAAAAAUUUGUAGCUCGAUAUGUUUAUUUUCUUGACUUUGAAAUUUUGGGAAUGGUAUAAUCUCAAACAUGUCCCUCCUGUCCAACAGAAUACAAAAUAAACAUAUUUUAACUUCUUUAACUAAUAUAAAACGUAAUUAAAAUCGAAUCACCAGCAAAUAAGUACAAUAGUUACUGCAAGAAAUUGGACUUAUUGACUGUUUGUAUUGAGCGAGUCAAAGCUUUUUUUUGACUGUUUGACAUAAUUAAACUCUGUCAGAAAUAAAAUACUGAACCUCAUUAGCUGCUCUUUUGCUUAACUUUCACCAUUGGCUAAACUUAGUGAAUAUGAAUUUUCAGAAGAAAAGAUAAACAUAUCAGUCUGCUUAAAUGGAAUUUAUGUUUGUUGCACCUUACUAAGAAAAACACUAUUUUAGAUUACAUAUAAGCUAAUUUAAGGGCCUUUCUGGAUGUUAAAACAAGUUAUACAGGAUUAAGUGUGUUGCAUCAGUGUUUCCUUUACUGAUUAUGAACAAGUGCUUGACAUUAUUACCUGAUCCUGACAAUCAUGAUUUAAUGAAUAUAGUAUCUUGCCUCCCAGCAAGAUACUAUCCAUAGAAUGGAAUUACUUAUGCCGCCUUGCUUGCAUCAUCUUUUAUUGCCUCCCACCAACCAACGAAGAAAUGGUCCUGGACAAGUUAUUCGAAGCAGUGUCUGUGUCUCCUAGCGGCCCGCAUAUUUCUCUUGUAUUGAUCUAUCUUGCUUGUUUGCAGAUCGGAAACCACCUGGCGUAGGCCGAGGAAGGGGAAGAGGGAGAGAAGACGGAGGCAGUGGAAAGCCCGGCGGCCGUGGAAAGGAUGACGGGGGCGGCAAGGCUGGUGGCCGCGGAAAGGGUGGAGUAGGUGGGAAAGGUGGCGGCGGAAGAGGUAACUCUCUUCAUGCUUUCUCUGAUCAUGAGGAGAAGUACUUCAAGCUAAUUCUUUCUGCUUUUGAGUAGUAAUACUUAUUUCUUUAAUGGAAUGUAACUUAACAGGCGGAGGACGUGGCCGGGGCUGAUGAGGCCUCAACUUGGAGAGGAGAAUGCCGCUUUUAAAAGGCUUUUCUUUCGGUUUGCAUAGCUAAGCUUAUGAUGGGAAGAAUGCAUUAUUGAUGGCGCAACAUUGCUUCCACUAUAUUUUAUUUUUAUCAACUCGUGCUAGUUUAUGGUCGGUGGAGAAUGCUAGAGAGGAUCUGUAGUUGGGAUGAGGAAGGAAAUUGUGUUCAAGCUGCUUUUCUUGUUUUCGUUUACUCUCUAUGAACAUAAGAAACGUUGGAUGCAUAACCAGUUAUACAACUCUUUCUUAACUUAAAUUCGUGUGCUUCAUGCAUCUUUAUCGGCAUACUUCUCUUAAACUAUAGCAAUCUCUAUGUUUAUGCUCGACCUGAGUUAGAAUGCCAUCUUGUGUCUUUACUGGUGCUGCAUAUAAUCUUAACUGGUGAAAUACGCCUUUUGUACUGUCUCAGUAAACUUGUCAACUUUGUUUCUAUUCUGCUACCUUUCGUGAUCGGGAUGGAAUCAUCACGGAGUUGUUAUGGUAGUUCAGUGAAGUUAGUGUAUUAUACCAUUUCCCAAGUGAGCAAUUUGAGAAAUUUUAUAGCAACCCAGUCAUCAAUAUUGCUGCAAUACUGGGGCAAUUUGCUAUCUGCACCACAAGCUAGCCUCUGAAGAACCAAUCAUCUCGAUUUUUUGUAUUCAGGAAGAUCCAUUAUACAUAAUAAUAUAGCAAUUCAUAUGUUCCAAGAAUGGGAGGAGAAAAUGAUGCAGCUUUAACAUUAGGAUAUGGCGAAAGGGUUUGUCCAAGGAACUAAAUUUCGUGGUUCUCUACUCGAGUUACACAGUUUGAAUGCCAUGAAUGUAAGAAAUUCUUUACAGUUACAGUAUGUUACUAUAUGGUCAGGAGCAGGCGAGGGCGUCGGGAGAUCAUAUAACCAGCAAGGCUUUAGGAAAUGUUGUUAUCUCUGAGAAUUCGGUGAUCCUGGAGAUGGAGCUGGAACUUCACCAGUCGUUCUUGAAGGUUGGUGAGAUCGGCAGCUUUGCGAGAUAGCAAAAGGCUUAACUGCGCCACAUAUUUGUCGAUAGGGCUCCCCGGUUUGUCCACUUCCACAAGCAGCUUCAUCUCCUGGUAACACAAAUGAUUUUUCAGCGCAAGCACCUAAUGCAUAAUGCAUUUCGGAAUUCAAUGUUUGGAGUACUUCUAUGCUAGAUCUGCACUUUUAAGUAUUUGGAAACUUUUUAAGUAUGCAUCAAGCAAUAAAAAGUAUGGCAUAAACAAUGCAAACUAUCAGGGGGUUAGUACUGCUAAAAAGUUGUGAAUUGUCGCGAACUUGCGUAAGAAUUAUGUAACAUUUCAACAGAGAUUAAAAAGAUUCUCGCUCUCACAGUUUGCGAAAAGUUCUAGUUAGACUUACUUCAUGCAUAAGAUCCAUUGUAUUUUCCAGUAGAUUAACAUGGGCAGAUAUCAGAGCAUCCUCUUCCUGCGCAGGAAAGAAAUGGAGCACAAGAUUCCAAGUCAAAAUAACAGAAAUGACUUUUUCUCGUAAAAAAGCAAAACCAUUAAGUAAUAUAGAUAUUAGAGACUUUGAAUUGGACAUACUGGGUUAAUUUCGCGCUCCUGUGACAGAGUUUCCUCUUCAUGUAGGCUUACUGAGAUAUUUGAACCACGAUUGCGUAUCUGUUGUUCUUCAUGACUUUUGGGGAACAAUUUAGAUGCGCUAUCUUUCUUAGUACUGAUCUGAAUCUCACUUUUCUCUUCCUCAUUUAAUUCUCUAGAAGGUGAGGAAACUGCUGGGCUGUUUUCCCUCUCAUGCAAAUUCAGUGUACCAUGCAUACUGGAAUCUGAUUUACAAGUCGAAUUAUUACAAUAAGAACUUUCUAUGUCAUUCGUGGCCAUCUCAAGUGUGGGGGAUCUUGGACUGCCGUCUUCUGUUCUGCUAGAGUUGUUUCCAGAUUUCGAGCUGAAACUAUCGGUAGUUGAACUUACUCCAUGCAUAAUAUUAAGUGUAGUUUUUGUCCAUUCCGAGUAAGACGAUACUCGAGGAUCCUUUUCCUGCAAGAGACAAUAAAAAGGUAGGAAGAUGAAACUUUUCUAAUCCAAGUGUAGGAAACCAUAGGCUUUUAAUAGAUGGAUGCGUUUGUACCUCGACUAUGGCGUUGAUAUCUUGCUCCUGAGGCAGUGAAUAGUUCGUACUGUAAUCCGGUUUGUCAUUAUUGGAUGUACAGCCACGAGUAUCUUGUGUGUUAUUUUGACCCUUCUCGAGCUUAUCGUAAGCAAUACCAUCAUCUUUCCUUUCAUUAGAGUUGUCCUCAGACAUAAAGCUGGAUAAGUUACUGUCCCCCUCAGGCAUAGAAUCCUGAGAUGGAGCUUCCUCUUCAUAUUGCCUUACCGAAGUAUUCGAACAAGGAUCAUGUAUCUGAUUCUUUAUGUGGCUCUUUGCGGCCAUUUUAGACCCACUUUCUCUUUUAGGCGAGUUGCUCCUUAUCUCGCUUUUUUCGUCCCUCAUCAAGUUUCUAGACGGUGAGGAGACUGAUGAAACAUUCUCAUUCUCGUGGAUAUCCGAUGAUCUUGGUGUUGUCGAGCCUAAUUUAUAAGUAGAAGAAUCAUUGGAAGUACUUUGCAUGUCAUUCCGGCCCAUCGCAAGUGAAAGAGAACUCGACUCUGAGCUCACACUCUUGGUUGUUGAAUAAACAUCGCAGGCAAUAUCUGUUAUGUUUUCUCUCUCGUCCCAACGAGAAGUUAUUAGAUCAUCUUUCUCCUACAAAAGAGGAAAAAAGGGAGGAGAAACUCGUGUUUAAAACGUAAAAUGAAAAACACAAUUCUGUAGUUUCAAAAUGUAGAAUCGUUGGUUUAAAUAACUGUAAAGAAAAUCUGCUUUUACCUCCUCACGGCGCGGUCCUUCCUCACCAUAUUGGCUUACUGCGGUACUCGAAGAAGAACCAUGCAUCUGCUGUUUUUCAUAGCCUUUAGGAGAAACUAUAGACCCACAAUCCUUCGAAGAACAAGAGUGUUUCUCUUUGAGUUUGGGCUUUUCGUUGUAAUAGAUAUUCAGCGAAAACUGUGCUGUAGCAUGUGUUUUAUAGCCAGAAGAAGUAUUUUGUCUGUUAUGUUGAUAAAUCUCGAGCACAUUCGAACUGGUCCCACCUACUUCCCUUCUGCUAUAGUCGUAGUUUGGCUCGAACCUGAAGGAGUUAUUACUAUUCUCAGGCAUAGGAUCAUAUUUGUUGUUUUCUAUUUUCCGCCUAAAGAUUGUAGUAUCUUCUUCCUCUUCAUUGUUUUGCUCGUAAGUAUCCUCCGAUUCGACUAAGAAACGAAGUGGUGGUGCUAAAGGCGACUCCUUUGACAGGCUUUUAAACCUGUCAAGUGAGUAACCGAUGUUUAGCUAUUUUUGAAUUUGGAACUUCAAAUUCAGAAAUUAGAUACUCACCUAUCAGCAUAUCUCAAGGUAUUCAGGGUAGGCUCGCAGGAACCUGUACUCGGAGAAAUACAAGCUAUCAUAACAGUCCUCGAAUUGCCGACAAAAGAGUCGCGAAGCACCUCAGUUAGUUUGCUCCCGCGGAAGGGGAUAUGAACCUGAUCAUUGUCGAGGGCUCGGAUGCACUCCUUUAGGGCCAAGAGGCUUGUUUUGAUUUCAGCUCCCUCAGUACUAGUACUCGAAGGACGAAACUAUGCGUCAGCGCAAUAUACUUAGGGGUCUUUUUGAAAAAGAUAAAAAAGAUAAAAGUUUGGUUCUUCUUAUAAAAAGAUCUUUGAUUUCUGUAAUUGUAGCCAACAUGCUGCAUGGUUUGAAUGAUCUAUGCAUAGUUCAAACAAACGUAGCAGUAGUCCAUACUUUUUCAUCGAUAUUUCAAAACUCUGUCAUGGUUCUUGGAGUUUUCAAACAGUAGGCUAUAAAGUAGACAAAAAAUGAAAAGAAUCGUUUCAUUUUCGGCCUUGAUUAGUGUUAUACAAGAUUUAACAUAUGACAAAUCACCAAUGAAAACUCUUUAGGAAAAUCAAUAAGUAGAUGCAAAACCUUUUAAUUCGGUCACUGUCGAUAGAGUCAGCCCCACGUUCCGUUCCAGCGAGAUCGAUAAACGAUAUUUUGCCAACAAGCAUGCCGCCCUUUGACACACUCUUUUUACUGUUUCUUUUUGCGUCAUUUACGUCGUCCUGGUCCUUAAUAGUCAGUUGUAGAAUAGCAUGGGAUCUUGAUGAUUCGUCAUUGGCUCCGGUAGACCCUGUAACUCUCGCAGAAUUUCCUUUCUGGAUAAGUUCUUCAACAAUCUGCAUAUCCGAGACUUCGUAUUCCUGCAAUCCGACGAUGCGCACUUGCUGACGGCCAUCUUCUCUCAUGCACAAUUGCCUGCAAAAGAUCAAUUAGGCCAUAAAAUUAUAGCUGAAAGAUAUAUAUUCUGAUUCUGUUCCUGAUAAAAGCCGAAUAACCAAUAACAAAAACAAAGAGAGAGGACAUGAAUCUAGUUGGAUAUGUAAAAACAGUAAAAGAUGAGAAAAUGGAACCAGAAGAGAGGUUCAAGUGAACUGAACCUUCUAUCAUUAAGAAGGUCGAAAAGCUUCCCGCAAUAGAUCUCAAAGUAACUGAGCCACAAUUUCAAGUUCUGAUUGCGGUAGUUCGUCUGACGCAACAAUCGAAAAAUAUCUUCUGAAGCUUUUAGGGGCAAGGGUUGCAUUGUAAAGGUUUUGCCGCUGCCUGAAAACCAUCAAGCCAUUCUACCGAUAAGCAAAUACUUUAUCGCAACCAGCAACCAAAAAGUAAUCCAUGAGGCAAAAGAAAAAGCAAGCAUUUAUCAAUAAAAUACUGCUGCAUGGAGUAAGUUUUUCCCCAUAAAUGCCAAUUCUGCACUGAAUGAGAUAUUGAGAUUAACCCUUCAACCAAACUGACAAACUUUUAUCUAAUUCCUGAUGAAAUUAGUUUGUUGAAGCAAAUUCACAUAGUUACCAUCAAGAAAGUUUCUUUUUCCAAAUUUUUAUUAAAUCUUUAUGAAGAAAUGAAUUUCACGAAUAUAAAGUCGACUAAUAACUUCCAUUACACCUGUACUCAAUGAGUUCAUCAGGUCAACACGACACCGACCAUGCACUCAUUUAUUCUGAAGAAGUAAUGCACGUCGGUAAGCAGUAAAGUACACACAUGAUUAGAUUAUUCCGCUAUGUAACUCGCACCUGUUUGCCCGAAUGCGAAGCAUGUCACUUUUCCUCGCUGGAAGAUUGCUGGUACAAUUGGCUCCACUGUGACGCUGUAAACCUGAUAAAUAAACGAGGUUAUAAUACAAGUAUUAUUAUUAAUAUAGCUAAUGGUGAAGAGUAAGAGGACCGAAAGUAACAGACGUAGCGUGGUGCAACGCAAGUUACCUCAUCAGUGGUGGCAUUCUCAUCCAGAACAGCAUCAAACCGAAAUUGAUGUUUCUCCACGUACGCGGUCAAAUCUACCUUGUGUGCCAAAAAGUAUUUAAUCAGAUAUUGCGACAGAAUAUAAAUGAGAGAAUGUUUCUGUCAGAAAAAGUAAACACAUAUGUUUGCUGAUAAAAAGAUUCGCUGAAGUAUCAGAUAACUUCAGCAAAUGUCAGAAUACAGGAAAUGGCAAAGAACAACAAACCUUUAAUUUAGGCUCUUGUAUAACUAUAUGCGCAUUAUCGUCUACACUGAUGAUAUCGCCCUCCUUCCUAGAAAUCUCCUUCUUACUGAGGGGCCUUUUACGAACCUGAAACAUGAUGAGUAAGAUAAGCUUAUUUACAGUGUGUGUAUAUCUACAAGCCAGUGCUUGGGGUAAUAUCGACAGAUACCGACACAAAACCAUGAUAGUUAUUAUAUAAUCAUCAAAUUCGCACAAGGUCAGAUGUUACGUACAAGUUGGCGAUACAUGUGCAAAAUGAUUCUGAUAAAUAGAAAAGAAACCUUAGAACAUUCUAGUCUCAUAUUUAAAGCAUAUGCAUGCAUUGGCAUGAAAAAUCAGUAUUGACUCGUCGUACCACAACGCGAAUCUUAGCCAUCUUUUUCUCCUUCGAGGCAAUAAUCUCCUUCGCACCAACCGAUGCUCUGUAAUUGCAAUCUGACCGGCCUUCUAAAUUUUGCUCCCUGAUUGCGGAAUCAAAAUCAUUACUCGCUCCCCUUGAUGGCGCAAAAAGUGAACGGUUGAACGGUUCAGCCAUCACAUUCUGCAGAAAAAUAGGACUUAGCAUAUUCGGUUAGAUACGGACUCGACCGCUACAAGUUAACUAUCAUAUCAAACAGAUGAUAUUGCAAUUCCUAACUUCCUCUCUGAGCGAGGAUUUAGUUCAAUUUCUGUUCUGCUAUCCAAUCACCACCAACUCUAAUUGGGUUCAAAUUUGAUUUACAAAUUUAGUCAAAUUAGUAAAUCUGCGAGAAAGACCAAGAAAGGAAAGAUCGCACCUCAGAAAGAAGCUCGGUGUCGUCCAUAGCAUGAAGAUCGAGAAGCCCAGUCCCUAACUUUCCCGUAAGUUUAGGUGAGCAAGAGCCAUGUAUCGCGCCUUCAGUCGCGACAUCUUGUUCUGUAGUGUAACUAGCGUCGUACGCGUCAGGACCUGACUGAGUACUAAAAUUCGAGUUCGUCAAUAGACUAGAGAGUAGGCGAUUGCCCUCGGCGAUCUGAGCUCCAUAACCCUGCCGACAAUUCGAGAUUAAAUGAAGUAGCUCUCAGCAAUGCAACAUUGACUUGUAAAAACAGCUUUGAGCUUCGAAAAAUUCAGAUGCUGAAUUAGAAAAAUACACGAAAACGAGCGACGGGAACGAAGAGUCGAGAUAACGUAGUACACCUGAAGUUCUUAGAAAUUUUGAAAGAAAAGCUUUUUUGCUACCAUUUUGGUACCAAGCUACUUAUUAGCCAAACCUUGGUUUCAUCCCCCUUAUUUAGUUCUCAACUCAUCUUCAGCACUUAGAAUUUUAGUUAUAAAUCUGUUACAGAUACCAUAAAAAUCAGUAGUCCUAAAUUUCAUUUACGACAUUUAACCACACUGUUUCAUAUUCACGAUAAAAGCUACAAAAUUUGUCUACGCUUAAAUGCUGUAGGCGGAGAAACGCUUAGACAUUAUAUACAUGUCAUGAUUCUUGUUUCUGUUCGCGGGGCUAAUGGUUUAUUUGGCACUGCUUCUGCUUCUGCUUCUGCUUUAAGCUGUCGUGACCUACAUUUGACAAUCAAAAAGUCGAGAGCUUCUCCUACAUUAAGAAUCAUUUCAAUACGAUUUUGAGGUCUAAAAGUAGAAUUUUCAAUUUAGAACUUCUAACCGUAAAAAGAAAAAGUGUUUCUCCUAAUAGCACUGCUCAGAGAACACACCAUUGAAGUACAAUCUCCUGCUCUUAACUAUCGUAACGAGGAAGGAACCGAAUCAAUGAAUUCACAUAAAAUGAUUGUAGACCUGUGCGAGGAGCGAGCGGAGGCGGCAGUGGUGGUCGGCGGAGGCGGCAGACGACGCCAGGUGCUGGAGCCCCGCGUACUGGAGCCACCGCACCGUCACCGCGUCCACGCUCUCCGCCGCCGCAGCCCCCGACCCGGCCCCGGCUUGGCAUGUCGGCGCCUUCGCCUUCGCCGCCGCCGGAGAUCGCCGGAACUUCAUCGAUCUCCCCCCGCACCAAGAAGAGCUCAACGUUACCGCAUUGAGAUUCGAGCGCAAGGGUUUGGGUAUGACGAGGGGGAGUGAGAUUUUUUUUUUUUUACUCUUUUUUUUUAAAAUUUUUGAGAUUUGUGGGGAUGACAUGCCGAGCAGUCAUGCUGCAUCUUCUCUUCGCGUUGACAGAAUGCCGUGGCGGUUGUCGUUGUUUUUCUUCUUCUUCUUUUUUUUUUCCCCUCGCAAAACGGUUGUGAAAGUGUAAAGACAUUUUUGCCCCUCUGAUGCUCGCGUAUACGCCCCUGAGCCUUUUUUUUUUUUUUUUUUUGAAUAUUAUGUUCCACUAGGUCACCGAAUUUUAACACCAAAAUUUUAAGUUAUGUCUUACUGAGAAUAGCACACGACGAUAGAAAUACUGUAACACGUUAAAAGAUAAUUUUUAAGUAGGAAUGAGGAUAUACAUUUGUGAUUCGUCGUAUAUGUACGUAUUUUAUCAAGGACAAGGACAGAAGGGAUAUGUUUGUUUUGAUAGCACAAAAUACUUGUGGCAUCUUUAAGGUGUUUCUCUUUACACUCGGUUUUUUCUAAAAUAUUUAAUUUUUAAAGUUUGAUUUGUAAUAAUUUUGGUUCGAACUUUUAAAAUUAUUGCAACCAAAUCUGAUAAUUUUAAAAGGCUAAAUAUCAAUAACUUAUUAUUAUUAUUUUUUAGAGAAAGGUAACACGCUAUCUGCUUCAUUUAUUAGGUAAAUGAACUUAGCUAUAUAAGAUGAGGCAGCUAGGGCCUCAAAUAGGCGACUAAACGAAGGAGAAAGAAACUAAAAGAAAAAGUAAAAGAAUAACAAAAAAAGAACAACAAAGAACAAUAACCAACGUCACCCUACUCUGCAAAAAUCAGUCAACUCCUUCACUAGAGCUUUAAUAUGAUGAGCAGUAGAAAUAGCAUUCAUGGGCAAGUUUCGGAAAAUAAAAUUAUUUCUUUCGCACCAAAUCGUCCACCAGAUGGCCGCCACAAGAAUUUGAGACUUCAACGUGUCCGUCUUUGACCGCCUCCUUAUCAACUCUUUCUAAACGAACUUGACAUCCUCACAUGAUGGGUAGACGUAGGGCGCCUCUAGGAGGGAAAGAAAAAGAAACUUGCUGACUACACGCUCCGCCAAUAAGUGGUCAACUGUUUCCAGUUCAUUGCCACACAUGACACACGCAUUGAGACCUGCCCAACCCCUUUUAAGUAGGUUAUCUACAGUAGGGAGUCUCUUUUUUAAUACUAGCCAGAGAAAAAAUUUGACUUUCGUCGGAAUUUUCAGUCACCAGAUAGCCGGCGUCACAACAUCUUUGACUCCUCCAGUCCUGAUGAAUGAAUACAUUGACUUGGCUGAAUAUUUACCACCUGAAUUCCAUCUCCAUUGUACGACAUCAGGUUGAUUUACAACCCGUAUGCUAGAUAGGGUGUUCUUCAACUCCAUAACACGCUUUUUACUAUACAAAGUGUUUCGCCUCGCUCCUCUCAGAAUCUUUCUCCACCUCCAUCCCGAGGCAGCGAAGCAAUCACAGACCCUCACUUCUUUGCGAUCCACAUGGGAAAAGAUAUCUAGGAAGUAUGACUUUAGGGAUGCGUCGCUACACCAUCUGUCAGCCCAAAAAUCAAUGAGUAAUCCAUCCCCCAGCCCGUAGCUCAAUCCACUUUUGAAGACUUCCUUCAAAUUUACCACGUUUUUCCACCAUUGUGAGGCCGGUCUAAAGGACCGUUCUUCGGUCAGCGGUCGUCUUCUGUUAUAGUAUAAGCUUCUGAUCAACUUAGUCCAAGGUAAACCCCUUUCAGUGAGAAAACGCCACCGCCAUUUAGAUAAAAGUGCAUCAUUCAUUGUAGCCAAAUCCUUCACACCUAAGCCUCCGUCCUUCCGACUCAUACACACGUUUUUCCAAGAAACCCAAUGGAUUCCCCAGCAUAGUUUAUCUCUACUUUCCAAAAAAAGUCUCUUCGCAGUGCCUCCAAACGCUUUAAGACCCAUUUUGGUGCUUUAAAAAUGGAGAAAAAGUGCAUCGGCAUAUUAGAAAGAACAAAAUUGACCAGAAUCAACCUGCCGCCUCUAGAAAGAAGUUUAGCCUGCCAACCAUCGAUCCUCCUUUGGAAAUUAUUAAUGACACUUACCCAGUCUUCUUUUCUAAGUUUCCUGUGAGUUAACGGUAGGCCUAAGUAUCUAGUUGGCAAAUUUCCAACUUUACACUGCAAAAUGCCAGCGAGUCUAGCGUCUUUUCCGUUCUUUCCCCCCAUGUAAAAAAGCUCUGACUUCACUUUAUUAAUCUUUAUCCCAGAAGCCCACUCAAAGAGAUUCCACAAAAAUUUAAGGUUGUACAUAUAUCUCUUCCUCGCCUCACAAAAGAAAAAAGUAUCAUCUACGUAUUGUAUUAAGGUUACAGCGCUAUCUUCUGUUGGUCCGAUUCCCUUAAGAAGAUUAGAUUUUUCAGCCCUAUCAGUCAUCCUGGCGAGACACCCGACCACAAGUAAGAAGAGAUAAGGUGAUAGCGGAUCGCCUUGUCAUAAACCUCUUUUAGAUUUGAUCCAAUUAGUUGCAACGCCAUUGACUAAGAGAGCCAACUUAGAGUUACAAAUGCAUUCACAAACCCAACCACACCAUUUCUCAUUAAAGCCCAACAAUAUUGAUAAAUUAUUAUUAAUAUAAAAGUGAUGUAAUAUCUUAAAUAUUGUUGCAUCAUCAAUUACAAUAUUUUCAUAUCAUUUCUACAUCAAUAAUUUAUCAACAUUUAGCCAUUUAAAUUAGAUUGUGGAAUCUGAUUGCAACAAUUCAGAAAGUUAAAACUAGAAAUUGCGAUAAUUAAAGUUUGGGGACCUGACCGACCGUCCCUAGAGCAAGUGGCAAAGGGCUUGGUGGUUAGUACCCGAGACCCAAGUUCGAAUUCUAGUUGAUUCACAUUUCCAGCUAAGUUUAUUUCUAAAUGAAAUAAACGAAGCGGGUAGCGUGCUACCUAUCUCUUAAAAAAAAAAAAAAAAAAAAGUUUGGGGACCAAAAUAUCACGUGCAUCAUAGUUUGAGGGCCAAAGAGUAAUUUGCCACACUAAACUAAUACAACAGUUAGUAGAAGAGGUAGGGAUAAAAAAAAACCAUGAACAAAUCAACCUACUCAAAAAGAAAUGCUUCAAUGCUUUCCCAUGACACACACACAAAUUACUGUACAAAAAGUAGGGCAUAAACUUAAUUACCCUUUAAAAUAGUACAUUAAAUGAGCCAAACUCGAAAGUUAAGAACAAGCAUUUUGAUCAGAUGCCCAUGAACGUGCGGCAUUGUAAUUCCCAGUGUUGCUUCGUCUGACGAACACGCUCGACUCUUUCGAUCCGAAGCCGCUUCUCCCAGUAAUCGGAACAACUGUCAGAUAACAGAACAAAACAGUUUUGAGUUUUUCUUUUUAACGGUAAAGCCGAUCUACUACUGAUCAGAAUUUCGUCAGCAAGAACUGUACCUAUGUCUUAGCAGAAUGUGCAGCUCAUCUAAGUGUACGGCACGAGCGAAGACUCCUCCCUGAUUCGAUCGAGAAACAUAAAUAUAAACACGGUCGCAAAAUUCGAAUCAUAUGGUGUGGAAAAGUAUCAUAAAGUUUAACUGGUGUCAUAUAUUUCACACAGAGAGGGAUAAAUGUGGGAACAAACCCAAGUUUUUGAAUCACAUAGCAUGAAAAUGUUAGUAUCUUGUUCGGACGAAUAAGAUAAGAUUAGCUCGAACAGGACGAGGAAAAUUUCUGAAAGCAAUGUACCCGUCGACAUAAAGGACAUUUUGCUUUUGGAUUUGCCGACUCUAGCCCAUCGACAAUCGUGACAGAUGCGGCUGAGCAACAACACAUGUAGCAGAAUAUGUGGCCACAAGCAAGAGCGACCGGAUCGAACACGGUAUCCUGUAACCAAAACCGCUUCAGUAGAUUAAAGCACAUACCAAAGUUUAGGCUAAGUUUGUGCCACAUUUUUGCUUACACUAUCUAAUUGAAACAUAAAUAAAUACAAACUCACCAAACAAAUCGAGCAAGUCAAGUUUAUAUCAACCCUCAUGGAAUCGAAGAGGCCGCACGAGAGCGUCGGCUUGUCCUCAUCGAAUGUGAGGGCGCAAUCUCCGAACAGCUCCAUGGCGGCCUGGCUGGUUUUCUCGCUUCGUCGCAAGUUGAUGUAGAAGGCCAUCAGCUCACAGAGCCAAGGAGAUUGAAGGAUCUCGAUGCGCAAGCUCUGGGCUCGCGCUUUGAACGCUUGUCCCUUCUUCGAGUAGUGAACCUGUAGAUAAAUUUUCGUUGCUAGUAGAAGCGAAAUGUAGAUUCACAUGUGAAAACAACGAUCGUAGGGAAGGUUUUUGUGACACCCCACUUUCCAGAAGGUCAUCUAUUUUAUGCUUAAUUCUCUUAACCUCUUGGACACAGCCACCGUUCAAAAUAUUAUAAUUGGGUUAAGAAGUUUAGCACUAUUAUAUCUCAUAUAUAGAACUAUUCCAAAUCUUACGGUUGUCACAAUCUCCCCUCUCCAAGUCCUGACGUUCUCGUCAUGCUCAAACAAACUCAAAGUUAUCUAAAAGGGGGAUGACGAAACCUUGUCGUACUUCUUCAGUAUCUUCCUCAUCGCCACCGCGUUUACGAUAGCGUAAGUCACCAAGUCUUUGCCUUCUUUUAUCAGAGCUCCGUGAUUGCUGUGAAACCCGAACAGGAACCGCAAAAGGUACUUCUUGAAUCCAGAAGCCAGAUGAAACUCGAGCAAUCUCUUGGCUCGCCUGUUAAAGCAGCCAACGACGGCCGACAUCUCCUCGAGCAGAGAGGGAAAGAAAGAGCCAUCGCACACUGCAUGCAUGUGUGAACAAUUAGUUUCUGAGUCAACAAGCAGAUGUUAAAAAGGUAAUGUAACUCUUUUGAUCUUGUUGUUUUUCCAGCGAAAAGAUUGUUUGAUUGGUGAAAGUAUAGUACCUGCAUAACAAGAUCUGUAAUUGAAUUACAGAAAACUAAUAAAUUGCUCACGGAUUGCAUGUGAAUACAAGUAGAAAAUAGCUUCGAUGAUGCGCGCAAGAUGCAUCAACAAUCAUGUGAAUGGUGUCGUGAUCGAAGGCGCAUACAAAUGAAAAAUUGUUCAGUAUGAGUCAUGGAGUAAAUGAAAUACGGAUCUUAACCAAAGUCAAAUAAGCUGUUUUUUUUUUCUUUUUUCUUUUCCUUCUUCUGCGGCAAUUGAUAUAAUAGAUCAUUGCAAUUUGCCAAUAUUCAAAUAAAUCGUAAGUUCGAGAGAAGUAUUUUUGUAAACAUUCAUAACAUUGAGAAAAUUGCAGAUCAUUAAAGAUAUGUAGAAAUAUUGGGCCCUUCGUACUUAUAAGUUGUUUUCGAUGAUGGAGCUUCCGAAUCGACGAUUCACUCCGUUAAAUAUGAUCUAGAUUAUUUGAAACUUCUAGAAAAUAAAUUUCGUAAUUUUUCGAAAUCAUAAUAAAAUCCAUUGAGCGGGUAUAAAAUGAACGAUCAAAAUCGAACGAUAUCUUAAAAAUGGAUAAUCGUAUCCUUCAAUUUAAGAUCGGAGUUAUUGAUCUUUAUCUAGGUAGUGAAUAAAAUUUUCUAUCAAAAAUUCAACCUAUUCGGAUUCUUUUGUACCGUUAAACUAGCAAGUAUUCCAUACUGGCCGUUAAAAAUUGUCAGCUCACAAAAAUUGUCAAUUUUGUGAGCUUUUGAUCGUAAGGUGAAUGCUGUCGAAAAAUUAUGAAAUUUGAUUUUUAGAUGUUUUAAAUGCUCUAGAUAACGUUUAACGAUCUGAAUCGAUGAUUCAGAAGCUUUAUCAUCGAAAACAACUUAUGAGUACAAGGGUGAUCGUACUCAUAAUAGUAUAGUAGCCAGACUCUCUCUCUCUCUCUCUCUCUCUCUCUAUAUAUAUAUAUAUAUAUAUAUAUAUGCAGUGAGAAAUAAUCUAGCCCUCAGAAUAAUGCCCUUAAAAGCAGCAAAAAAUAUUUGUCAACAAAUUGAGGACUAAAAAGAGGAAAUUAAAGGCUUUCAAAAGGUGGUGAAUGGUAGGGCAUCUAUUGCACCCAUUUCACCACCUCCUUUAAUAUCACCAGCAAACUUUAAAAAAAAAAAAAAAAACCAUUUGAAAAGAGAAACAAAAUCCCAACAAAAUUCAGCCCCAGAAGAGAUCUAAAAACCCCUUUGAAAACAAAGAAACCAUUCUAAACCUUUAACCAAAAGAUUGAUUAGACAGAAAAUGGUUCAGAAAUAGUCGUAGCACCGCCACUCAAUUACGUGCACUGAAAGAAGAGAUAACAGAUCAUUCAUAAUAAAGAGAGAUCACUUAGAACUGAUUCAGAUACCAUGUUAUUCUGUUAUUCGAUGCGACAGAUCAUAAAGAAUGCUGCAGGAACAGUAACAUCAACAUGGAAAUUGGUAACAGUAAAAAAAAAAAAAAAAAAGCCAUCUUAAGCAUUGGAUAAAGAUAUUCCAAUUCUGAUCAGAAAGGAACAACAGUACAGUACCUUGGCAAUGUCCACUACUUGUGCAUCUAUUCUCCACAGAAGAAGAAGUCCCAUCCAAGCAAUUAUUCCCCUCCUCUCCUCCCUCUACACUUUCCUUUUGAUGGUGUUCUUGGAACUCACUCCUGCACCUCUUGAGCAUCUUCUUGAGCUUCUUCAAUCCCACAGUUGGGAGCUCCUCCUCUUUCCCCUUCAUGUAUUCCUCAUACUUCUUUGCAAACUUCAUCUCUCCAGCUGAACCCAGUGAUAAAGAUUCCAAUUUCGAGAAGCAACAACAACAACAACAACAACAUGGGUUGAUAAUGCAAAAGGAUCGAGAAUAUACCCAGUUCAUCUACAAAACCCGAGAAUCUAUGUGCCAACAAAUGAAUGGCUUCUAUAUAUGAUGGGUAACAUUGCAUAGAGACCCUUUCAAACUAUAGUUCAUUUAUACAUGUACAUAUAUAUAUAUAUAUAUAUAUAUAUAUAUAUAUAGAGAGAGAGAGAGAGAGAGAGAGAGAGAUAGAGAGAGAGAGAGAGAGAGUUGAGCUAUGAUACUUUUAUAAGUAUCACCAUCAUGGUGCUAUUAGGUUUUAAGCCAUUGGAUCUAUUUUUUGAUUAUUCAUAAUCCUUGAAUUAAAUACUAUUCCACCUACCACCACCUACCACCACCUACCAUCAUCAUCUCAACCUCACAUCUCUCCAUCCAAGGGCUAAAAACACACAAGUAUCACCCCCAUGAUACUUUUACAAGUAUUCUAGCCCUACUCUAUAUAUAUAUAUAUAUAUAGAGAGAGAGAGAGAGAGAGAGAGAGAGAGAGAGAGAGAGAGAGAGAGAGAAGGACUGGCAUACUUCUGAAAGUACGGAGUCUAUCAUGCUUUCAAAUCAUUUUCGACAUUGGAACUUUCGAAUUGAUGAUCGUUAGACUUGAUGUAAAAUAUUUGAAAUACUAGAAAAUAAAUUUUAUAAUUUUUUAUAUCAUUUGCCUAGUUAUCAAAAUGACUCAAAAUCGACGGCUGAAAGUAAAAAUCUUACAAAAUAUGAUGAUAUGACAUUAAAAUUUUAGAUCGAAAUUUCUUUUUUAGAGAUAAAUAGUAUGCUACCCGCUUCAUUUAUUUUAUUUUAGAAAUAAACUUAUCUGGAAAUGUGAAUCAACUAGAAUUCGAAUUUGGGACCUCAUGUACCAACUACCAAGCCCGUUGCCACUUGCGCUAGGGACGUUUGGUUAGAUCAGAGAUAUUGAUCUUGUUUUAUAUAGUAUAAAAAAUUUUUAUCAAAAUUUUACAUGAUUUGAAUAUUUUUAUACCGUUAAACUUACAAACGGCUCACCAUGACCAUUAAAAUUAUUAAUUUUGAGCCCUUCGAUCACUAGGUAAUGAUAUAAAAAAAUCACGAAUUUUAUUUUCUAAAUACUUUAAAUAUUCUAGAUCAAAUCUAACAGAGCUGAUCAUCGAUUCGGAAGUUCCAAUAUCGAAAAUGACUUGAAAGUACGAAAGGUUCUGUGCUUUUAGAAGUAUACGGGCCUCACUCUAUAUAUAC
RNAcentral lists this long non-coding RNA (50901 nucleotides) under Ananas comosus (pineapple). RNAcentral describes it as "long non-coding RNA (ACOM_LNC027243)". The record is from RNAcentral. Lineage: Eukaryota; Viridiplantae; Streptophyta; Magnoliopsida; Poales; Bromeliaceae.